GAAAAAUUGUAGAAACUUAUUAUUUAGACACUAAAAUAAGCUUUAAUCAUUUAGAUAUUAAAUUGUUGGAUUAUAUAAAGUCAUGUUCCGAGUCGAUAUCACGGUGGAAACGUCGAAGAUUUGAGGUUUCUGGAUGUUGGGUACUGGUACUUGAAGUUUUAGUACCGGUACUAUUGAGUACCUCAGCAGUUACUCAAAAUUUGAAAGCUGAAAAACUAUUUUUUGUAUUGAAUACCGAUACGCAACUUUGAGUACGGUACACAAUUCCGCGAUGGGUCGGAUAUGUAGAGUUUGACUCUAAUUAGAUAUAAUCUUGUUCCAAAAGAUUCGGAAUGGUAAAAGUGGUUUCUUAGAGGAUAUCGACGAUUAGAUGUGAAUCAGAGACUCGGAUGGAAGGCGGAGAUCGUUUCCUACUAAAAUUAGAAUUUUAGGGUUAUAUUAACUCUUGUAAUUAAUCUUUUAGGUUAUGGACUUCAUUAAAGACACCUCAAUUGAGAGGAAAACUUGGAGAGCUUCUGAGAGAGAGUUUCUUGUAAUCCAAUUUACUUCUUUGUACUUUUGUGUCGUAGAUUAAUUGAAGAAAGCAUUGAGGAUGGUAUACCAUGGACGUAGGUUGACUCAUCGUUGGCUGAACCACAUAGAUUUUGUGUUCUUGUGAUCUUUUACUUUCUUUAUUGCUUUGCUAUCUUCCUGCUUAUUUUUCUACCAUCAUUAUUGUCUCUUACGUUUAUGAAAGAUUCUGUUUCUGCUACGCUCAUGUGUUGUAUGGAUUUGAGUUGUGCUUGGUAACCCAACGGACGUUCCCUUCAUAAAUCUAUAUCUAUACUAUAUAUAAAAACAGAUAGAAAAUUUUCAAUUGACAAUCGAAUUUCUAGAUAUAAUAAUACAAUGUUCCAUAUACAAAAGGAAAGAAAAUUUUAAGUAAUUAACUAGCUAAUUAAAAAUAAAUAGGUUUGAAAAAUAGAAGGAUUUAAAAUAGACCUAUCAAAUCAAGAAUUUUUUAAAUUCAAAUAAUGCAUUUAAAAUUAAAUUCAAAUUUUGAGUUUGAUAAAUAACUUUAAUUUAUAUUUUAAAAUUAAAUUCGAAAUUUUAAUUUUUGAGUAUAUAUAAUAAAAUUGUAUGUUAUGGAGUACAUAUAAAUAAUAUUUACAGUGUAACUAAAUUAAAAACAUACUUAAAAAAAAAAAAUCAGAUUUACAAAAUAAAUCAAUUGAAAAAUAUACUGUGCCACCUAUAACCAUUUAAAUUCAAAAUUCAGGUCAAAAUUUAUUUUCAAUUAAAAUUCAUAUUUAAAUUAAAUUAAUUUAAUUUAUAAAUGUGAUGUCCAUCAUACGAAUUCUAUAACUAGUAAUCCUAAUAAAGUUGAAGGUGUAGGAAAAAACCCCUAUCUGUAACAUUAAAAAGAAGUAUGGAAAAUUUAUGAAUUUUGAUAUAUAGUGCCUAGAAUGUGCAGGUCACAUCAAAUUAUUAUCAUUAAAAUUUUAACUUAUGAUAAUCUUCAAAAAAAAAAGUAGUUCGUUAGGCGAACAACUCUGUAUCUUUUAUGGGAAUGAACCUGAAAUAUGUGAUCACUUGUAGUAUGUCAAUGAGUACAAAUAUCUGCGAUCUUAAUUACUUGAACUUCAACGCGAAUAUGAUUGUGUUUAACUGAUGCUAAAUGGAUAUAUUUUUAAUAAUAGGUAUAAAAAAGUUGACAGAUAUGGGAUCAAAUAUGAUUUUAUCUGUAUCCGACUCGAACCUAAACAAAAAUGCCAAGGAUUCAACUAAUUCGGAUUUCAAUAGUCCGGUUUGCAUUCAAAGUUUUAAAAAUCUCUUCCGAAUCUGAUCCGUUGGCAUCUCUAAGCACUUGUACGCAAGGAGUACAUAUACAUAUGGUUUAUACUCUCAUCUGCUGAGACAAAGACUAUCAUAUGCCAGAGAACACAAAAGAAGUGCAAGAACUAUGGAAAAGUUGACCUUAUAAAGAGAAGUAUAUAAUCAAAAAGAGCCCCACUACAUUAACGGCCACUUAACAUGUGAUUUAGUUAAAAGGGAACCAAGGGGCCAGCAUUCUGCUCUGUGGCAGUCAGACUGGAACGAGUUACGUUCGCAAGGGCGUAAGACUGAUUCGGCCGAAUUACAAUCGAGAUCCGUAAAAACUGUAUCUAUAUCCUUAAGUGAAUUGAUUGCAUUUUUUUAACAGCUCAAGCUUUUAGGACUAAUGAUUAGCGCCAAUGAUCCAACAGAUAAUUUAAUUACUAUAUUAAUUCUCUCAAAAUUCGAUUUUCUAUUUCAUGUAAGAUACACAGAAAAGUUGUAACUAGCCACCACAUGCAUAUCCACACAUAUGAAAACAGUGGUUUCUAGAUUUUUCAAGGUCUACAUUCUCGAAUUUUAGAUGAGGAAUCCAUGAUGGACCCGGUCCAUGCAAUAAUUCACAGCAUAAGUGGGUGAUGAGCAUGUGACACCUCUCAAGUACCACAACCCCAUUAUCACAACCCCCACUCUAAUGGCCUAAAAUUAUUCCCAAAGAAAGCCUACGUUCCUUAGGCUCUUCCAUUCCUUUAUAAAUUUUCCCUCUAUCAUGGAUGGACGAGGACAAAGAAAGAACAAAGAGAUGGAACCCUAGAGACCCUACGUGUCUAUUAGCAUUAGCAUAAAGUAUGAUGUAGGUUUGUUAGGAUUGCAUUUUUUUUUAUUUUUUUUAUUUCUUAAUAUCAUCUUUUCCACCUUAGGGAGUGUAAAUAGCUGCAUAUGGUUUGCAACAGUGUGAUCUUAAGUGGUCCACAAAAUCUAAAGUUCCCACAUAUAUACAUUAUAUAUUUUAGAAUCCUUUCCCCAUGGUCCUGAGCUCUAUUAUUAACAAUCACCAAUUGCACACAAAACAGCAAAAAGCAUAACUCAGGUAGUCAUUUUUUAUACUAUAAGCGAUUCCGAGACGAUAUGAGACUACACGGGACUUGGACAUAUCACGAACAAAAUAAUUUGCCAAUUUUGAAAAAAUAAAAAAAAAAAAGAAUUUGAACACGAAAGAAACACAGCAUUUUGAUGUCAUAAAUGAUACAUGCAUUCUCAUUUUCUUCUAACAAAUAAUGUUCUAACUAUUGUUCUAUAGCGUCCAAAGAGCACUUGAUCUUCUUCCAUAAUCAACAGACAAUAAAAUUAAACAUUUAUAUUCAUUUAUUUAAAACAUAUCAAUCUCAGUUAAGAUUUAGCCAUGGAAUGUAAAGUAACACAAAAUUAAUUUAUAUGAUCACAUAAAACACUAUGUAUACAAAAUUUAUAUACAUGUAUAAUAUAAAUAUAUAUAUUUUUUGCAUGUACUGCAUACAAAAUAUAUCUACAAGUAAAACCCAAUGCAUACAAUGCAAAUGCUGUUGCACUAAUGGUAAUGAAAGAAAGACACUAUAGGAGAUUGUUUGUGCACAAAUACGAUACUGGGAAAACUUUAAAAAACAGCAUUUUUUUUUAUCUAAAUGACAUUUUACUUAAAUGUAUCCACUACAACAGAAUUAGGUUAUAAAAACAUAUUUUUGAAACAUUUUUUAUAUAAAUUACCCAUUUAUGCUAAAACUUUAAAAAAAUUCUACUAAGGCCUAAAUAGAAAGCCCAAUCCAACCAAAAAUAAAAAAUUACUCUACUCAACCCACCCCACCCAACCCACCCCACCCAGCCCAGCCCAUUUGUCCCGAUUACAAGCAAAAAAGAAAAAAAAAAAAUAUAUCGAUCACCAUCUCCUCUUUCCCCCUCACUCAAUCCACUAAAACUCUAGAUGAAAAGCCCCUUGCUCUCCUCCUCCGCGCUGCAGUCGAUACUAAAUGCUAAAUGCUUAAAUAAGUGUUGGUAAAUUAGUAUCAUUCUUUUUCAAUUAUACCGACACUCUUAAACUGUUACUAUAUGCCUAGCGACCCCAUAUAUAGCAAUACUUUCUAAAAGUGUCGGUAAUUUAGCUAGCAGCAUUUUUUUUUAUCUGUAUCGACAUUUAAAAUGUUGCUACAUACCGUUUUUGUUGUAGUGAUCCAUCUCAAUUCUGCCAAUAUUGUACUUCAUCAAUCUAUUUAUUUAACUUAAUCUAAGAAAAUUUAAAGUGACAAACAAGUAACCAAACCAUUAAACAAAACAAAAUCAUCUCAACAUCUUACCAUACAAAUGUAUCAAUUUUGAUCAGUAAAAACUAUGCAUCAACUUCUCUUUUCUGAUAGUUUUUGUAAAAUGUGCAGUUACCAAUAGUAUAUAUAACAAAUAAAAUCAUUUCACAUAAUCACAGAUCAAAUCAUCAGUUUCCCGUUAAGUAAAGCUAGAACUGAUGAUUUUAUAAUACUAAAACAACCAGGAUUAAUAGCAGUCCACAUACACAUUAUCAAGCUUCCAGGGAAAAAACAUACAGAUAUACCUUUCCAUUGUGCUGCUAGCAUAUAGUAAUUUUCAAUUUCAAUAAUUGUGAAACAUAAAUGAUCGACGCUAAACAUUCGAUUAACAUUGUUAUUUUGAUAACAAAGAGACAAUGCAUAUAUCCAUUGCAAUGUUAGUAAUCACAAAAGGAAAUUAGAGGAGAAUACUACACUCGAAGUUUUAACUUGUUGGGCAUGAGUUUUCACCAAAGGUGGCUUGUAAUAAAACACGCCAAAAACAAUUGCAGAGCUAUUUGCAUAUUACCUUCUACGAAGACCUAUAUCUUGAUAAACAUAUAUACAAGAGAACGACAAGAAUAACGAUCAAAGUACGAAGGCUUUCGUUGCCUUAAAGGACACAUCAUUGAAUGUAUUAUAGAGAGAAUAUUAAUUGUUUGAGUCGGAACUGUUUUUAUGCAUCAUGAAAUAAUAAGGUAGUACUACACGUUGAACCCAAACCAACAACUUGAAAACUCAUAGAUGCAAUGUUCCACCUAUAAUACAUAUUGAGGACUUUCUCAGCAGUUGGACAUAGCCCUUUGCCCUUUAUAUUCUAGCAUAUGUAGAAAGUUUGACAUGAUAUCCAUUCGGAAAUUUACUGAUCACAAAGGUAUUGACGUUACACAAUGAUAAUAUGUUUACAGUGCCUAAUAAUAGAACUUAGUGCAAUCUAUGUACUAUAUGAUUACAAAUAGCAAACAAAUCGUGGCGCAUGCUAAUUUCAAUCCUGUGCUUUUACUGUGUUAAACAGCUUGGGACGUACAAACAACUCGCAGCAGUAAGACGACAUUCAUAAUUUGUAUGGUGAAAUGUCAUAUAAUAACAAGGGACCAAUCAAAAACUUUAAUGGUGAAAUGUCAUAUAAAAACAAGGGACCGAUCAAAAACUUUAAUUAAUCAAACAGACACAUACUAGGGUACCACAUACACACACUGAGCCACCCGAAAUUAAUGACUUUGAAUACAUCCAUCUCCUCCGUACUUCAUGACUUCUGAAGGAAAAAACUAUCUGGCAUGAUAAUUUUAAUAAUCGCUACCGAGACUUGUGCUAUAUGAAAUGGAAAAUUGAAAGUUUUCAAAAUCAUUUCGGCGAAAAAUGAAAAGAACAUUAGCUCUAAAAGAAAUCUCAUUAUUGGUAAAGAGGAGAAGUAGAAAACUAAAUGCAAGGGCUCUAGCUAUUCUCGCAAAUUACAACAAUGUUGAAAUUUUGUUUUAUUGUUUUUCUCUUGUGCAAGUAAUGUACAGCACAAAGUUGUGUUAGUCAGAAACUUACAUGACAGACAUGGAACCCUCCUCCAUUUGCAAGCACUAACCAAAAAUUGAACUUAUAAUGGACAGUAAUAUAUACAAGAUUAAUACAAGAUGAACUUUCCAAACAUAUAUAGUUGUAGCAAGUUUAAUUGACUUCGCAUAUAGUUAACUUCGGAUAUCAUUUUUUCGCAUACUGAUUAUUGAACAAAAAAUCAGUUUCAAACAAUCCACAGAAAUUCACUUAUUAGUGAGUGGAACAACAAAAAGAUCUGUCAUUAAAAGCCACAAAAUGUUUUUGUCACAGAAACCAUAAAUUUUUUUACUCAUGAUGACUACUAUACACUAUGUAGACUAGGGCUCAAUUGUUUCCAUUAAUCUAUGAGCCCUCAAAUUAUUAUCCCUACAUAUCCGUUACAAAUAGACACAUACCAAUUUGCUGAAUAGUAAACUAUUAUUUAAAAUAACGAAACUAGGUUUUUGAUCCGUUCAAGCUCUAUAUAACAGCUAAUUCACCAUCAUUAUUAAUUUCAAUAGUUUUACUUAGAUUUGUUAUAUCCAUGAUAUGGUACAAUAAUACAUGUCUCUCUAGCACACAACAUGUGACAGAAAGAGGUGCACAAAUAAUUUAAGCUCUAUUUUGGAUGCUGUCUGAAGAAUAUAUAUAUAUAUAUAUAUAUAUAUAUAUAUAUAUAUAUAUAUAUAUAUAUAUUCUGACUAUAGAAUGUAUGGAAGAAAUGUGCAUAAAAUAUAUUUACACCAAAGCUUGACAACUCAUUCCUGACUUAAUUUUGUCACAAGAAACAAUCCAUCUGCAAAACAGCUAAAACCACAAACAUAUAUUAAAAUAUGCAAAGCAUAAAGAUUACUUAUAUCUAUUAAUAUGUAUUAAAUGUGUCUCCAUGAAAACAAGCGACAGUUACCUAGAAAAGUAGGAACAGUAUCAUGACAAACACUCAGUAGAGAGAGAGAGAGAGAGAGAGAGAGAGAGGAGGCACGACAUUUCAAGGGCCAGGGAAACAAACCGUAGGCAGGCACUGAGGAGAUGUGAUAUAUGUGGUAUUAAUCACGUCCUACAGUAUGAGGAUUUGACAAAUUUCAAUUUUGUUUUUCCUUAAACAAUAAUAGGAAAAACACAAUAAAAUAAGUUGAAAAGGAACACAAAUUAGACUUACUACUGAUGAACAAACAAACCCAGUUGUUUUCUUCCCCUAGACAUGUAAUACGCCAAAACAAGAGAGAGAAAAAACAAAAAAAAAAAAGGCCGAGUCAUAUAUUAAGCAUGUGAUACAAAGUCACAAGUGUAGAUGAGAAACACUGCAUGAGAUGUUUGAGUCUCUCUCUCUCUUAAAACUGCUAUAGAGCUAAUACCCAUUCGAAAAAGAAAGAAACCAUUUUUUCAGGCGAGGAACAGAAUUUAAAGGAAAAAAAAAAAAAAACAAACUUAUAUACUAAAGAGUAUGAUCUGAGUAGUUAGAUUCGCUUUAUAAAUUUGUAAGACUCAUAGGAAUGAUGAGAUUAUAAUAAUCUUUUAGUUGUAUAGUAAUUCAAUUCGUUGGUUCCAUAAACAUGUUUGAAGAAGUAUAAAUUAUUAGUCAUAGAAUAAUCAAAAGAACGCAUUGGCACCGAGAAAAAGGAACGCUAUCUGUCAGGUUAUUCAUUGCCGAAUGAAAGAUGAGAAAGAUGCGGCAGUUACUAACUUACUAUCCCCUCUGUCUCGGUUCAAAAGAUCACAUUCGGAACGAGUCUAAUUAAGUUAAGAAAAAAAAUAAUAAUAAUAGUAGUAGUAGUAGUAGUAAUAAUAAUAAUAACGGUGCACGAAUUCAUGAAAAGCAUGAAAAUAUACUGUAAAAGCCUAAUUAAAGAGAAAGCUCAGCGAGAAAUUAAAAUGAACCGAUCUGAGUUGUUUUCAGGAUCUUGGGUGGUGGUGGUGGUGGUGGUGGUGUUGCUGAGGGAAAAACUGCGUCCCCGCCGCGAACGCGCUCAGCGGAGUCGGGUAGGGGUCCAUCACCGCCGCCGGCGCCGCCGCUGCGGAAGCCGACGUUAUUGCGGCCUCCGCAGAAGCUGCUGCGGCAGCGGCAGCGGCAGCGGCGGAAGAAGAGGACUCCCCGGGUUGCGGUGGUUGGGUAUGGUAAUGGUAACCCGAAUACGAAUAUGAAGAAAGGUCGGGGCCUUGGUCGCGCAGGAUGCCCUUGAACACGUGGCCGCCGAUGCUGACCGUGGCUUGGUAGGCGUACUCGUCUUCCGCCUCGUCGACGGGCCCGAUGCGGACGCAGCGGAACACCGCCUCCGAGCUCACCUCCGCCGGGAACCGCGCUUCCACUGCACCCGCCCCUAGGCCUCCUCCUCCUCCUCCUCCUACACACCAGCAGCGCAAACGAAUUACGAGAGACAGAUAAAGGGGAUCGAACAGCAGCAGCAGCAGGUAGCUAGCUAGCUUGUUCUCCAUCCUCAUCGAAACACGCAAAUGAUUUGCGGCAACAGUAGCGAGAUGAGAUAGUGAACAGUGGUAGUAGUUAGUAGUAGUGGUGGGUGCAGUGAUGAUGAUGAUGAUUGAUGAUGAUGAUAAUAAUUGUAGCAGUAGUAUAGUAGUGGUGGUGGUGGUGGUGGUGGUGGUAUAGUAGCUAGUACGUACCGGAGGUAGAGGGAGGGGGGAGGGAGGAGCGGCGGUCCCUAGGGCGGCGCUUGGAGGGGUCGGCGGGGGAGGAGGAGGAGGGGAGGGCGGCGAGCUGGAGCUGGUGCUGAUGCUGGCGAUCGCGGCGCCUGGCGGCGGGGACCCACGUGCUCUUGACGUGCGUCGCGCAGUGGAACCCCCGGCUCUUGCAGCACGUGCGGCACCGCUGGUGCGCGCAGUCUUUCUUCGCCUGGUUCCCGCAGUCCUGGCAGCUCACCCCACUCCCGCCCCCGCCUCCGUAUCUUCCGCCCGACUGCCCCGACCCCGACGCCGACGCCUCAUGAGAGAAGCUCAGAAUCGCGCCGCUCGAAGAAUAGAAUUGCGCCUGCUGCUGCUGCUGCUGCUGCUGCUGCUGUUGCUGUUGCUGUUGCUGCUGCCAUAGCUGAAAACCGCUGGUGCCGGUGCCGCCGGCGCGGGCGUAGAGGAAGAAGGUGUCGGGCGGUAGCGGAUUCUGAUCGUCUCGACUCGUCGGGAUAUGGCCGCUGCUCCCUCCUCCUCCUAGAGGGAACCCAGCCAUUCCCCCCAAUCCAUAGACCUAUUCUCCUCUCCCCCCCUCCCCUCCUACUCGCAUCAGAUCUCAAUAAUAACAAUACCCCCAAAAACAAUCCUACCUAGUCCUCUUCUCUUCUUCUUCUUCUUCUUCUUCUUCUUCUUCUUCUUGAAUUUUGUUGUUUCUUUUUUCUUUUCUUUUUUUUUUUCCUUUUCGGCUCUUUUAUUUUGCCCCUUAUUGGUUUAUAGUAGCAGCAGCAGCAGCAGCAGCAGCAGCAGUAGCAAUACUAGUAGUAACUCGUCUCUGCCCCUUCAUAAAAUUCCCCCCCCUCUCUCUCAUUCUCAAAAGAGCACAGCUCUAGAUACAUAUAUAAAUAUAAUAUAUAUAUAUAACAUACAAGAAGCCAAGAGGAUCAGGGACCGCCACGCCGCCAUGGAGCACGGCUAACGCUCGCAAUUCCAUUUAUUACUACUACUCCUCCCCCCACAACCAUCUUACUUAAUCCACCCCUUAACGUCCCCCCCACACCCCACACCCCCACAAGAAGGCAAAAAAAAAAAAAAAACCCUACCCAAUCAAGAAGGAGAAGGAGAAGAAGAUUAAAUAAAAAAGAAAAUAAAUAAAAGGAGACAUUAAAAAAAAAAAAGAAAAGAAGAGAAAAGGAGGAGGAGAAGAAGGAUAAACGAAGGGAAUGGGAGAAAUAAAGGCGCGUGUCUUUCUGCGGCUUCUGCUGUGAACCUUUACGGCUAGAAAUCUAACAUUAACCUUUUCUUCGCGAGGUCCUGUACGCGGGGCGAUCGUGGCCGUCCGUGGAUGGUCGGACGGCGGAUGGGGGGGGGAUGGGGUGGGGGUGGCUCAGCAUCCGUCACCGUCUUCGACCGCCAAAAACCGCCUGCUUUUUCGUGAACCCUCCCUACUUAAUGUCGCUGUUCCUGCCACGUUCAAAGUCGUCGAACCAAUAUUAUGCGUGCGCCGGUAUAUAGACCCGUUUUACGUGCAGCACCGAAAACUCUCUCUCCCUCUUUUUUCUUUUUUCUUUUUUUUUUUUUCGGUAUCAUUGAAGGGAAAUAGCUUAGAUCAUUUGUUUUCUAAUGGUAAAACAAAACUAUCUUUUAAAAAAAAAAAAAGGUUGUGUAAAAGUUCUGAGUUUGAGUUUAAAUAAGAAGGCUCUGGUAACAUCGUAAAAAGUCAAAUUCUUCAUUCUCAAAAAAAAAAAAAAACAAUUGCUCCCACUACAACAUAUUACAUGAAAUUUAUACCUAACCAAAUCUAUUUAACCAUGUGAAAAUGGUAAAGAAUAUCACUAGGAAUAUCUGUGUAAAAUAAAUAACUAAAAUUAAAGCAAUUAUUUAAACCUAAUUAAUACAACACUUAGAUUUCAAGUUUUAAGAAGAUUAAUUUUUCAAAACCCUUGUAAAAGGGUGUAGUUUCAUAUAUGGCCCACCAAAUUAGAAAGUAUCGUUAACAAUAGUUUUAUAUGUUUAGAAAAAUAUUGAUAAUAUUUAGAUUCUUGAGGGGUAUCUAUGAUAUUUUAAAGUUUUUAGAGAAACGGGUUUGAAAUUGCCCCAAUUAAGAAUGACCUUAUUCUAUUAAGAUAAAUAGUCAAUUUAUGUUUAAUUUUUGUUUCUGUUUACUAUCUAGAUAAUAAAAUUUAAUACAUAUUCAUGUCAAGUUUGGGAAUUAAAGACAAUUCACAUCAAGUUGUUUAUAUUUAAAUUUUUAGGCUUCUAAUUUAAAGUUUUCAAGAUAAAAUUGUCUAUGCAACUGCCACUUUUAAAACAUUUAAUUUGAAAAAGACUACUUAUACUUUUUAUACACCUAGUAAUAAAAUAUAAGAUUUAUACUCCGUGUUUCAGAAAGUAUAAAUAAUCUUUUANAAGACUACUUAUACUUUUUAUACACCUAGUAAUAAAAUAUAAGAUUUAUACUCCGUGUUUCAGAAAGUAUAAAUAAUCUUUUAAAUUUUUAGUAUUAAAAAAUUAAUAAUAAAAUUAUAUAUAUUUUUUUUGAGAGAAAGAUAGUACGUUACCCGCUUCAUUCAUUUAACAAAUAAAUUUAGCUACAGGGGUUGAGACAAUGCGGUCUCGAAAAAUAUUGAAGGCAACCAAAACAAAAAAGAUAAAUAAAAACUAAAAUAAAAAACUAUAAAAAAUUGAUAUUUGUACUCCUGACUCAAAACUAAGAUAUUAAGAGCUACAAAACUCAGUUUAUUUUCUGCUCACGUUUCGUAUUCGUCUAAUAGUUUAAAAAAGAUGGAAUGAUUGGCUUGUAGAUUAGCACGGUGUAAGAUUCAUAAACCCUACAACGUACAUGUUGCACCAAUCCUUUUUAGUUUUUAAUAGGAUUAAACGUUAAUUUCGGUCUAUGGACCUGGUCGAGGAAAUAUAUUCUUGUGUGAGAGGGUUAGAGAAAACAAGGGUCUUUUUCUCUCUCAUUCACCCAAAAGUAGAUACGCGUAUUGAAUAGGACGUGUACGAUACUACGAUCUCCUUAUGCUAAUCUUUCAUUUCCAUUUUAAUUUGAUGGGAUAAUUUUAUUUGUAUCCUUGAGAAGUUCAAAAUUAUUGUAAACGCCUCUACAAAAGUUGUAAUAUCAAAAUUAUCCCCGCAAAUAUCUAUUUAGUUAAUCUUAAUUAUAUUAUAGUAUAAUGAAGGUUAAGAAUGAAAUUAUCCACUUUAACAUGGUAAGGGGCAUAUAUAUUGAUGUAUGUGGCCCACUUCUUUUUUUUCUUUAAUUUUUAUCCAUUCAAAUUUCAUUUAUUUUGAUCUCAAAUAUUAUAAUUAGUUAAACAAAAAAUUUAAUUAAUAGGUUAAUUAGCUAUUAAUAAUUAACUAUUAAAUGAAUUUAUGCUAGUUUCAACUCAAAAUUAAUUAGUCAAGGAUAUUAAAUUUAAUAGAAUAGUUAUCUUACCUUGUGAAAUUUUUAUCUUUUCAAUUUAUUAUUUAAAAUUAUUAUUUUCAUGCAAAGUCCAUUGAUUACGAGAAUUUAGUUUGUCUUUUCAUAAUGCAACUAAUUUUUUUAUUUGAUUUCAGAUCUUAUACUAAUGUUGUUCUUAGUUAUAAUAUAUUCAUAACAACAAAUUUUCUCUACACUAAGUAGUCAAAUAAAAGUUGUUUAUUACUUUACAAUCGGUGCAGCAAAAAACUAAAUAACUAAAAUGAAUUAUCCUGUCAUUCUGACAAUAAAGCAAAAUAAAAUUUAAUUUAAGAACAAUUUAUUCCAAAUAGAAAAUUUUAUUUAAUUGAAAUGAAUAUAUUUUUUUCAACUAAAAUCAAUUGAAAUUUACUAAAUUUUUAGUCUAUAUAAAGUUUAAUUACUUUUGAAAUAUAAGGGAGGAUAUUUAUGAAAUAAAAUUAGUAAUUGAUCAGGGAUAAAGUUGAAAUAUAAAUACUAUUAACUUUAAUAUAGAUGAUCACUUAAUGGCAGGGUUAUUGUUGAAAGUUUCUUAAAUUUGAGGGGUUACAAAUGAUAUUUUAAUUUUAAAAGGGGUUCUUAUAAAAUUUGAUGUUUUUAGAAGGGUAUAGGGAAAAUUUUCCCUAAUUUGAAUAUAUAUAUAUAUAUAUAUAUCCAGUGAGAUGAGAACGGGAAACAGUGUGGAGUAGUACCCACGGUGUUGUGCACCCACUAAUUUCUUUAGUACGGAAUUUUGCAUACUAAUAAAACCGAAUUAAAUUGAUUAAUUGUUCGAGGGUUCAAUAAUCAACAACCAAGUUUCUAACAAUGUUAAAUAUAAAUAUUUAAAAAUACCGUCAUCUCAUAACUUAGAUUUUUUAAAAAAAUAAUAAUUUUUUAUUAUUUAAUAUGAUAGGAGAAUAGAAAAUUAUGAUUUUGAAUCGCGUUGGUUUUCCAACAAAAUUAAUUUUUUCUUAUUUAAUUUAAAUCUAUGUCAUAGGCCAGCUAAAAAUAUUGUUCUUUUUUAUCUUAGGCUUUUAGAAAAAAAAUGAUCAUUUCAUUUAAUUUACUACUAAGAAGAAAUAAAUUUUUUGCGUAAUAUAUGGAGAUUUUUUUCACCAUACACAUUAAUAAUAAUAAUAAUAAUAAUAAUAAUAACCAUAAUUUCAUGCGCAUAGGAUCAGUUGUAAUUAUCUAUUUGACUCGGCUUUUGACAUUGCGGUGUUACCCACAAUAGUGAGAUAGAAAAUUAAGCUCCGAAUUUGCAGGUUCAUGUAAUAGAAAAAAUGUGUUACGCUAGAAGGCAAGUAAAAUAGGUUUAUAUAUAGGCCUAGUUGUCUCGACCUUUCAUGCAAUUACUGCAUAUGCUUAUAACGCAAAUAAGACAUUUUACCUCCGAAUUUGAAUUACAGGGUUGGUUUACUGUUACAAAUUAAAUACUACGUACAUUUCGUCACAGCACCUCAUGAUAUGGUGUCUUUACUCUCUCUCUCUCUCUCUCUCUCUCUCUCUCUCUCUCUCUCUCUCUCUCUCUCUCUCUCUCUAUAUAUAUAUAUAUAUAUAUAGAGAGAGAGAGAGAGAGAGAGAGAGUCCGGCUAAUAUGCUUUUUAUGAAUAUAUUUUUUUGUAUUCAUAAUUUUCGACCGUUAGGUCUACUCGUUUGACCAUUUUCAUUCGUGAAAUUAUACUAUUCAACGAACCACCCGCUAAAUCCUAUGAAAUCAUUAUCAUUUCAAUCGGGGACCACUAUCAUCCAAAUUGCACAUCUUUUCAUUGAAUGAUCGAAAAUUCAUGAGUAUCGAUCGAUAGUAUCAAACACUUUGUACUAUCGAGUUUUCCGCCGUUAAAUCUAUUCUUUUGACUAUUUUCAUCCGUUGGAUCAUGCUAAUCAACCAACUAUCCGCUCAACCUUAAGGGGAAACACUAUCAUCCUAAUUGCACAUCCCUUUAUCCAAGGGUCGAAAACCUAACAGCACAAAGUGCCUGAUACCAUCAAUAGUAUAGUAGCCUUAAGAUAUGGUCGGGGUGCUGAAUUUAAACUUACCAGAUUAACUUUUGGAUACUAAUUAAGUAGACCUGUAUUAACAGUUUUGGAAGAAUAAAAUUAACAGUUUUAAUCACUUCAUAAUAAAAUAAAAUUACUGAUAAUAUCUAAUUAAACUUUUUAAUUUAAUAAAACUUUAACAUAUACUCCUAGAAUGACUCAAACAAAAAAAAUAAAGUUAAAAGAGGUUUAAAUUAAGAAAAAAGGCGGAAUGUGUUUCAGAGACGUCUAUAGUUGAGAGGUAUCCAUAUAUUUUUACCUAACUUUUAAUAAUGCGAGGGAAUGAUACGAACAAAUUAGAGCGCAUUUGGUUCAAGUUAUAUAAUAUUACAGAGUGUUCCGAUAUAUCCAUAUUUUUUAAAUUUCUAAAUGAGAUUAUUAUUAAUGCUGCAUUAGCGUAUUUGAUUUAAUACAGUAAUUAAUAUAAUGCUAGAUUGAAAUAUUUAUACUGGAUGAACUAAACGCAAUAAUUCUAUCAGAAUUACUUGUAAUCCUGUCAGGAUAAUUCGAAUCAAACGCAUCCUGUUGUACAAGGGGUGGCCAUAAUAAUAAGUUAAUGUUCCAAAUAAAAAGUAACACGUACAUUUUGUUACUCAAGCGAUAAGAUUUUUUAAGUGGGAACUGUGUAUAAUGAUUUUCACAGUAGUUGCAUUUUGGGAAUCUUGUCCUGUCCAUUUAUCUGAACGAAAAAGCAACAUGCAUAUGCUAGGACUCUCCAGCUGCAGAUCAUUUGUACAUAAGAUCCCCGAAAUCUAGGUUAGGAAAUUUUGUCAGGUUCAUUAACCAAAACCAGAUUCAUAAAUUUUAAUAUAUAAAAUUUAAGAUUAAUUGAAUGUACGGAUCCUUAAUUUUAGCGCAUGCAAGCUGGAAUUUGAUUUCAGCUUCCAGUUGUCUAAUCACCAAGCUACUGAACUAUUUGAUAGAUAGCAAAAUUGGUUCAAUAACUUAAGUUGGAAGUAAUACUACGAAGAGCAUUCUGUUGGUUUAAAGGAGUCAGUGUUUUGCCCGGCUGUGAGAGAUGAGAUUAGGCCGAGUCACGUUCGAAGUUUGAAAUAUAUGGAGAUCGGAUUGGCUCGAGUCAUGUUCAAAGCGGCAUGAGGCUAGAUGGUUCGAGUCAUAAUCGAAAUUCGUGAGUGCUGUAUUUAUAUGCUUUAAAAUUAAUUGAUUGUAUCUUAAUUUGUAAAAGUUUGAGCUUUUGAAAUUAAUAGUUAGCGUCGACGAUCCGGCGCAUUCAACUUCUCAAUAAGAAUAGAAAAUAUAAUUGGAUUGCAUUAGAAUGGAAAAUAAAAUGACAAUCAUUAAAAAAUAUUUUGUUCAUUAUUAGAAUAGAAAUCAGAUUGGACAUCUAGAAUUUUGAGAGAAAAUUUUGAAGAGAGAGAGAAAAGUGAUGAAAGGAGAGAAGAGAGAGGUAUUUGUGCGAGAGGAUUUUGAGUAAUUUACUUUGAGAUGGCAAAUCCAAAAUUCAAAUUCGAAUUGGGUCACAAAUAGAUUUAGGUCAUUCCUAUACUAGAGUGGAAUGAGAAGCAAAAUCCAGUUAUCAUAAAACAAACAGCAAUCAUCGGAAUAAAGGAAUCUCAUUUCAAUUCCACAAUCUAAGAUAAGUGAACCACACGAAUUCUUAAUAUCUUCCAAGAAAAGAAUUUUAUACAUUUUAUUUUUAUGUCACCUCAAAUGCUAACAGUGAAUCAAGAAAUUGAGAGAAAAACCAAGAAAUUGAGAGAAAAAAUAAAACAAAUAAAUAAUUUAUGUUGUUCAGCUAGUAACCUUCGUCCACCGAAAUAGAUGGAGCGAAAAUUUCUAUUAUUAGAGUACAAAAGAAUGGAUCUAGCUUUAACAUACAUCAAAUGCUCCUGCUCCUCCAAAAUACUACACAAUAUUAUACAUGGCAAAUUUAAAAGAGAAGAGCUAUAUUUAUAGAAAUAGCCAAGUGCAACUAGAAACCAAUUCCAAUUGGGUCACAUAAGAUAGAAAAGUAAGCUGAAUUCAUAAUCCAGUUAUUCUUAACUUUUGUUUCAUCGGACACAAAAUAUAUUUUGAACCAUCAGAACGUACUGUCAUUACCAAUACUAACCUCUACAAGUUUUUCCAUCACGAAUUAUGGGAACUAUCAUUAGCAACACUAAUCUCUACAAGUUUUAUUUUUUCCUGCUCUUACUGUUCUUCUUUUUUUUUUCUCUUUAACUUGAAACAUUCAGAUUUGAUAUGUUCUUUCUUCUUAUAAUAAUUAAUAAAUCAAAUCCUUGUGUUGUGACUUCGAUUUUAAUCUCUAUCAACUAGUGUCAAAAUCCCUAUAUUUGGGUCUCUCUUUCGCAAUAAGGCCCUUUGCAAUACCUUCACUCACAUUAUUAUUAAUUUGCUUAUCAAUCCUUUUUUUACAAAGAAGAGAUGACUUGAUAUCUUUAAUAGGUAGGGUCCUUUUACCAAAGAGAAAAAUUUCUCUAAGGAGCUUAUAUGAGGAAGCUAAAGAAUAUAACAAUAGAAAGGACAUCAUUUUCAUCCUCAAUCUUUACAUUUAUGGACUAUAGGUCUAUAAUAAUAAAAUUACAUUCAUCAAGAUAAAAUUUAAUGUAAUAUAUGUAUCUUUAGAAAUGCGUAGAAUAAACAAUUGGUGCUUCACGUAUAGCUUAUUUAUGGGAGACUAUUCAUCAUAUAAGGGGGACUCAGAGUUUCAACCUAAAGUCUCAGUAGCCUUUUAUUGAGCAUUUCACGUAAAGUGUCACUAAAGAGACACAAUUGAAACGCUAUAAGAGCUCUAGAAUCCAUAUCUUCUUUUGCUCCUCCGUCAAAAGUGUUGAACAUCAUUUUUUUUUUUUUUCUUUUUCCCCAAAACCUCUUUCUACAACCCCUAUUACGCUAAAAUGGUACACAUCAUAUACACAUCAUAACUUGCUACAUAGUAACUGCGCGCUUGAGUAAUUAAUCAAGCUUUUUGAUCUCAAAUUUCGUUGAUAUUUUACAUACCCAAAGUAAACUCCCAGGCCAAUAAUAGUUGUUAGGACAAAUGUCGAAAAGAUUUAAUUUUGUUGGGUGAUAAAAAAUAAAAGAAAAUCUAAAAAGAGAGAAGAAAAAUAAAUGGCACAGAUAAGUAAUAUAAUUCAACCACUGGCCUAUAUAUAUCCAUGCGCACAAAAAUAGAACAAAAACCUUAGUUAUAACUAAAGUGGAGUACAAUAGAAUGCUUCUCUCAGAAUAACCUAGCUAGUCCCAAAAUGCAUCAGAUACUCUUUCUCCUCCAAUAUGCUAUAAUAUGUUACACUACUAUACUACACACCAAAUUUAAGAGAGAAGAGCAAUAUUUAUAAAAGUGGCUAAGUUUCAAUUGGACUAGAGUGGAUUUUAGUUUAAGACUAGGAAUAAUUCUACUUUAUCUAAAAUCCCACUGGGGCUAAAAUUAUUUCCAAAAUGAUUAGACAUAUCUAAUUCCUAUGAUACUAAAAUCCAAUGGGAUUAGGAAUAAUCGCAGAUUAAAUAAAUAUGUUGGCCAAAAUAGAAUAUAAUUAAAAAAUCUUUGGACUUCAAAACUCAAGAUACAUUUAACAGUCUCCAUUGAAACUGUUGCAUCUAUUCGCAUCAAGAAGACAAGGAGGUGAACUAAUGAUCAGUUUCUUUCGCUUUUUUCUCGACUGCUACUUAAGAAACUCUUCUAUAAAAUCUCCAAUUGAGCCAAACAAGAACAGUACCUGCAAACACUGGACAUGAUGAUACAAUAUUAAUUCCUACUUGUUGAGAAUUGGACAAUUACUGAUUCUUUGUCAAUAAUUGUUUGAUCUCCAAAGCAAAUUAAAUCAUCUUAAUUAGUAUCCUUCUUGCCCUAUUUUAAAUAUUUCUUGUGCAACCAAAUUGACAAGAAUGAUUUCUCUUUUCUACUUUGGAAAGAAAGUGAUAUUUUUGGAGGCUAUACCUAUCUUUUCAAGUGAAAGAACACAACCAACACUGUAAGGGCCAAGUUGUGACCUUGGCAAUCCGGGACCUGCUCAUAAUGGAAUUGUCACUGUAGCCCCCCAAAUUCAAUGUCUUGCUCCAUUCAUGCUCAACUUGGAUUUUAAUACUCAACAAUUAAUGCCAAAAACAUUAUUAGUGUGUAAGAAAAAAAACUCUAAAUAUAGGAAAAAAUUAAAGCUUGACUAGCUAGCUACCAUCAUCUGCAAAGAGCAUGGUCGAUCGGAAACCAACACAAAAUUAAGGUCUCGUUUGUUAUCAUUGUUGUUUCUUUAUUUUUAAAACAUUAAAUAUUAUGUAAUUUAAUAUAUGGGGAAUUAAACUUUCUUUUAUUGUUAUUAUUGACUAGAUUAUAAUACAUUCUGACCAAGUAACGGUAGAUGGCAACUUCUAUGAAAAUUUUAGAAAAAAAAAAAUUUACCUCCAAAGUUUUAUAUUUUAUUGUCCAAUAAAUAGAAUAGAUAUAAGAGUUGCAAACAGUACUCUACUGUCCUCGUCUACACUGCUAAGAACUAUAUAUCUUAAAAAACAAAAAAAAACAGACAAUAAUGCCAUGCAAGGCCUACACUUCUUUGGGUCUUGUCUAGUCCUAUCAUUAAUAUCUUCUAUUUUAAGGUAUAGUUACUUCUAUUUAAAGGUAUAUAUAGUUCGUUGUUUUCAAAUGUGUAAAAAUAAAAAGAAAAUUUUACUAUGAUUAGUUUUUUUUCUCUAUGCGAAAGCUAUAUAGAUAUAUACACACACACUAUCAUAAAGACUUUUUUUAACAAAGAGAAAGAUAGUAAAUUAUUCGUUUUAUUUUUUAAAAAAAAAUUAAAUUUGAAAUAUAAAAUAAUUAGGCUUGAAAUUUAGGACUUGAAUAUCAAUUAUUAAGGUCUUAGCUAAUUACGUCAGGGACAAUCAAUAUCAUAAAAAUUUGAUACAAUACAUGUCUUAACAACAGUAUCACUUAAAUGGUACUAUAUCAAACAUAAUCGUAUCCUUUACUGUACAUAUAGUAAAGUAACUUCUAAUUGAGCCAAAAAAUUAAAAAGAUAUACAUGAUAUUUGACAUUCUUAUAAUUAAAAGACCUGCCCCCCAGAUUGAUCACCUAAUCAUAGGUUUAAUUUUUCUUCUAUAUUCAGUCUUGGGCUAUAGAAGAAACAAGCAAAGAUAAAUCUAUUUAUUUAUCUAUCUAUCUAUCUAUCUACAUUCAUAUUUUGACUAAUAAGGAACUCUCAGGAUCUUUCUAAACACUAAUAAAAGGAGGAAUCUUUAACUCCUAGAUUAACAAAUGUAGAAAUUGGAUUGAAACAUUAUAAACAGUAGUGAUUAGGUGCAUACAUAAAUAUAUAUAUAAUUGGGCUUUGAUUCUUCUGCUUGAACAUGGAUAGCUUAUGUAGGUAUUUGUAAACCAUGUAUACGUCAUGAUUCCAGGGGUUGCCAUUCAUCAUCUUAAGCAUAAAAAAUAUGUAAAAAAAAACCAAAUAUAUACAAUUAUGGUAGCUGUGCGAACAACAAUAGGACAAGGACCUAAAAGUUUGUUACGUUUUUAAUGGCCUAAAAUUCUUGUUGUCUAACGAAUAUAUUUCUCUCUCAAAAUGUAUUAUAUAAAAAUUAACUGAGUCAAAGGAGUCGAAUUAAUAUGAUGAUGCCACGUACGUGGUGUGUCCAUUCCUCAAUUUUGUUGGGUUUGUUGAUGUUUUUUCGGUGUUUUAGUUAUCCAAAUUUAUCUACAAAAGGAAAAAAAAAGCUCACAUAAAAAUAGAGUAAAACUAUUCAUCCACCCCAUCUAGUGGUGAAUGAAUAGCAUAUUUAUAUAAUUUAUGUGACUAUAAAUUUAUUAAAAUAAAUAAUUAGUUUAAAUUUUAUAUCUAAAAUUUUUUUAAAUUAUUUAAAUUAAAUAAAUUAAAAGAUGGAAUCAAAAUUAUCUAUAAUUCAGAUAAGUUUUAUAUAUCGUUACAAAAAAAAUAUGUUGGAAAAAUAAAAGAAGAGAGAGAAGAAACAUCUUUUAUUAUUUUGCUCUUAACAAUUAUUGCUGCAAUGGGAGGAUUUUUGGACGGUCCUCACUUACUUUAACUUGUUUUGUUACAUUUUGGCAGGUUUUAGUUGAGAGUAUCCAUCGAUUUUUUUUUUUUUUAUUAUUUUUUUUUUGGGAGGCUUUGAUUCUCAAGAUUAAUUGCCUCGCUUCUGUAACUUAGAUCAUAUUCGUUAUAAAUAAAGCAAAUAAUAUGCCGUUUUUUCCUUAAAAAAAAUUAAUAAUAAUAAUUUUUGCUGCUGCAGGACGAUCAGCUCUCUUUUUGUUUUCAAAUGGUAUUUGCUGCAAAGACCAAAACAAACCUUAGUAUGAAGAAUAUAUACACAAUAAAAGAGAAAUAUGCUUAGGAUUUUGUGUGGGUAUGGGGGGGAGUCCCAAUAAUUGAGCCCUCUAGGGUCAUUCUCGAGCCCUGUGUCAGUACCCGAGUUGACUCUUCUUUCCCUCCUUUCAGUCUCUUCCUGUCUCCCUCCCCACCCUUUCUCUCUCAUGCUCUCUCUCUCUCUCUCUCUCUCUCUCUCCUUCUCUAUUUUUUUUCUCUCAAUAACUCAUGCAUUAUCAUAUUCUUUUUAAUUAAUUUUUUUUUACUAUUUGGCAAUAAAUAUUUUAAAACCUAGAUUCACUAUAAGGACACAUAUUUAGAAUAUUUUUGUGUAAGUGUCCUAUUUAUGCCAAAAUAUAAAAAAAAAUCUACUAAUACUUAAAUAUAAAGCCCAAUCAAACUAAAAAUAAAAUAUUACUCUACUCAACCCACCCCAUCCAGCCCAUUCGGCUCGAUUACAAAAAGAAAAGAAAGAAAAAGAAAAAUCGAUUACCGUCUCCCUUUCUCCUCUAACUCAAUCUACUGAAAUCCUAGACGAAGAGCCCUUCCCUCUCGUCCUCUUCUGCCACCGCAGCCAACGAAGUAGAGUUCCGACGGUUGCUAAAUGUUUAAAUAAGUGUUGGUAAAUUAGCAGCACUCUUUUUAGGUUAUAGCGACACUCUUUAACUGUCACCAUAUAUCCAGUGACCCCACAUAUAGCAAUACUUUUUAAAAGUGUCGGUAAUUUUGCCAGCAGCACUUCUUUUGACCUGUACCGACGUUUAAAAGUAUCGCUAUAGACCGUUUUUAUUGUAGUGAUUGAAUAGGACUUAUCGCACAAUGACCUAAUAUCAAAAGAUUUGUUUCAAUAAAUAAAGAUAGGACUGACUUUCUCUCACUUUUUCUCUCUAACUUAUGUAUUAUUAUAUUAUUUCUACGAGUUGAGCUGGAAUACUGUCGGUAACAAACGGACUUCAUUGCCACUCAUUUGUUUUCGAUAAUGGAGCCCCCAAAUCGACGAUCAGCACCGUUGAAAAUAAUCUAUACUAGAAAUCAAAUUUCAUAUUUUUUCGAUAUUGUUUUCUUGUCCAUCAAGUGGGCGUAAAAAUGAACGACUGAAAAUGAAUAUCCUCUAAAAAGUGAUGAUAGAAAUUUUAUAAUUAAGAUUAAGAGUAUAGAUCUUGUUCUGAAUAGUUUAAAGAAUUUUAUAAUGAAAAUUCAAUUGAUUUGGAUAGUUUUACACCGUUAAACGAAAAAAUGCCUCAUAUCUAUCAUUAAAAUUAUAAAUUUGGAACCCUUUGAUCAUUAACCUAAUGAUGUCGAAAAGAUUUGAAAUUUGAUUUCUAAACACUUUAAGUGGUACAGAUCAUGUUCAACGGUGUCGAUCGUCGAUUUGAAGGCUCCAUCAUCAAAAACAAAUGAGUCGCAACAGAGCCCAUUUGCUACUGAUAGCAUUCCAGCUCAACUCUUAUUUCUACUUAGAUUUUUAGUUAAUUUACAUAAAAAUUAUUAGUUUUUAGUUUUUACAAAAGUAUGCCAUUUUUUAAAUUAUGCAGUUUCUGACCGAAUUUUCAGAAAACUGAACAAAAUAUUAUUAUUCCCUUUUCUCUCUCUCUCUUUUUUUUUCUCUCGUUCUGUUUUUUCUUUCUCUCCGAAGAGGGCGACAGAGGCGGAGGCGUCCGCCUUGUCUUUGUCCCACGCGACCUCGUCCUCGCCCUCUCCCACGCACUCUCCUUCCGCCUUCUUCGCCUCCGAUCAGCUGAGGCCACACCGCAAGCCUCUUUUUUUUUUUUCCUUUCUGACCCAUCUCCACCAUCUUCCCGGCUCUUUACAAUAAUAAAAAGGGCAACGUCACGUCCUCUUUCUUUCAUUUUUUCUCUUGUUCUUUGUUUUUUCUCUUCGACCCUACUCUAUCGCUUCUACGACGCUCCACGACAAUACCAAGGACAGUGUCGUAUCCUUUUCCCCUCCUUCACCGGUGUAGGCAUUGACGCCGGUGCCGGAAAAGAAGAACUCGGAGAGAGUGCUAGUGAGAGCGAAGUCGAGAAAAAAAAAUAUGCAGAAAAUAAAAAAAUAAAAAGAAUAAAAUAUAAAAUAUAAAAAAAUACUUUUCUCUAUAAGAAAAAUGAAGAAUUAGAGAAAGAAGAACAUGAUAAAGUUACACUAUUUCAGGAGAAUGUUGAACUGUUUCAGGAGGACGUACGUUGCAAUAUUUUAGAGAAAAUUUAUACUCUUUGAGAGAAAAACUAUACUUUUUGGAUGAAAGUUGCACUCUUUAAACUAAAAUUGUACUAUUUGAGCAAAAAUUACAUUGUUUCUCCUCCUCCUCUUUCUUCUCCUUCCUUUUCAUCUUUGUGUGUUUCUUAUGUGCCUAUCUCUUCAUCGCCCUCCACCUCCGUCGGCAGAUCCUCCAUUCUCGCCUUUGCCCUGUGCGCCCUCGCCCGUGCCCGCGCACCCCUCGCCCUCGUCGCCUCCAAUCCCAUCUAGGCCGCACCGCAACCUUCUUUUUUUUUUCCUCUUCGACCUUCCUCCACUGCUGGAGAGGAAAAAAAAAAAAGAGAUGGUCAGAGAGAGAUUGGUAGAGGAUCUGCCGAUGAAGGUGGAGGGCAAAGAAGAGACAGGCGCAGAAGAAAUACACGAGAACAAAGAGGAAGAAGAAGAAAUAAGAGGAUGAGGGAAAAUAGUGUAAUUUUUGUCCAAAAAGUGCAAAUUUCGUUCAAACAGUGUAACUUUCAACCAAAAAAGUAUAAUUUUUCUCUCAAAAAGUGUAUGUUUUCUCUAAAACAGUGCAACGUUCUCCUGAAAUAGUGCAAUUUCAUCAUCUUCUUUUUCUCUCUCUGAUUCUUUAUUUUUUUGUAGAAAAACGUAUUUUUUAUGUUUUAUUCUUUAUUUUUUAUUUUUUAUGUUCUGUAUAUUUCUUUCUCGGCUCCACUCACCCAUUUUUAACUCACUUUGAGAGUCCUUCUUCUCCGGCGCCGACGUCAGUGCCUGCGCCAGCGAAAGCGAAGAAAGAGAAUGCGGCGAUGUCUUUGUUAUUGUCGUCGAGGAUCGUGGAGGAUCGCGGAGGCGGUGUAGGGGGGUUGAAGAGAGAAAAAAAAAACUACAGAAAAAAAGAGAAGAAGAUAUGUGACGCUGCUGGCCUCUUCACUGUUGUAAAGAGCCGAGGAGACGAUGGAUAAGGAUUGGAGAGAAAACAAAGGUCCUGGCGCAAUCUCGGCGGGGUCGGAGGUAAGAAAGGCGGGGGGAGGGUGCGCUGGUAAAGUUGAAGGCGAGGUCGUGCUGGAGAGAGGCGAGGCGGGCCACCUCCGCCUCCGCUGUCACCGCCCUCUUUGAAGAGAGAAAAAAAAAAGAAUGAGAAAAAAAAAGAGAGAGAAAAAAGAAGGAGGCCUCCGCCGCCCUCUUCGGAGAGAGAAAAAAAAAAGACGAGAAAAAAAAAGAAAGAAAAAAGAAUAAGAGUAUUUUGAUCAGUUUUCUGAAAAUCCGACCUGAUUAUGUAAAAUUCAGAAAGGUGGCCUAUUUUUACAAAAGCUUAAAAAUAAUAAAUUUUAUGCAAAUUGGCGUAGAUUUUUUUUAUUACUUGCCAAUUUUUUAAUACCUGGAUCGACUUUAUCAAUCCAAGUGAUCGGAUAGUGACCUAAUACUCAAAUCGAUUCAGUUCAAUCCAUAAGAUCGAACUAAUUUAAAAUCUACUUUGAAACGUUCAGAUCGAUAGUUCAAUUACUCAAAUUUUUUAUUUUAUAUUUCGAUAAUUAGUUAAAAAAAAUGCAUUGGUUUUAAAUAAUUUAUGCUUUGAUAUACAUUAAUUAUAUAUAAUAUAAUAAAUUUUAAAAAUAAUAUAGAAUACCAUACUUCGUAUAUGUUGAUACCAAAAUUAAGCCGACCUAACCCACGUACGAGCCAAUAAGGACACGUGGUACAUCAGGAGUCGGCAAUAAGGCGCCUGAAGGACAAAAAGGCGGGAACGGUUGAAGAUUGGGGCGUAACUUCCAUGAGGAGUUAGCGUAAUUUCCAUGAGGAGUUAGUAUAACUUCCACGAUCAUGGUUACAACCACUCCCCCCAACUACUUUCAACCAACUAAUAAUGUGGGCUAUAAAUAGUAACUUUGAAGCUUGCAAUAGGGGUCUUUGCCCUUGCGCACAAAAGACCACCAUUAUUUUCUCUGCAUUUUAUCGCUUUUCUAGGAGUAGUCUAAAUGUAAUCUUUUUCUUUUCCGCAUUUACUGCUUUCCUAGGAGUAGUUCUUGUAACUUAGAUCUUUGGAGUCUGUCUGCCCUAUGGGCAUCACUCCUUUAUAGAAUUGGAGUAUGUCUGCCCCAUGGGCAUCACUCCCUUAUAAAAUAUACUUGGAGUCUGUCUGCCCCACGGGCAUCACUCCCCUGUUCUUGUACUUUUUCAUUUUCUAUUCAAUAGAAAGUCACGUUCGGCUAUUCAGGCCGACCAGAUUUUGUGUUGUGCUAGCCAUUCAACUCAUCUCUCAGUCGAAUUCUGGGCUUCCCCUCUUCAUUCGGCUCAUCCUACCGAAGCGAAUUUACUGCGGAGGUUUUCGAACCCGGCUCAUUCGAUCCCUCAUCGGCCUAAUCGCUUGAUCCUCUGUGGGCGCAUACUGCGAGGGUCAUAAUCCGCAGCCGUCUCGUAGCCCGACGAUCUUCCCAAGGAGAAUUGUUGACUGGGUCAAGAGUCGGGUCGUUCGGCACGCAACAAUUUUUGGCACGCCCGGUAGGACACAUUUUUGGUAAAUUUAUAUUUUAUAUAAAUUAUGGCUGAUGAUCUACGUAAUAGGGUUGUUCCUAAAAAUUUUGGGAGUGAUCAACCUAGUGAUUCAGACAAUGCUGGCGAAUGUCAAGCAGUUUUGCCAGUUGAAGGAGAAACUAGUGGACAGUCGGCUCAUCAAGAGCCGAGUCUAACUCAGGCACUCGGCCAGAUGAGCCGAGUCCUGCAAACUUUAGAUUAAAAUAUCCAUCAAAGUACCGCUCGACUAGACGCGGUGCUGGCCGCUAUCACGGCCUAUAAUAAAAAUAUUGCACGAAUAGGGCAAUUAUUGACUCGAAAUGAGCAACCAAUGACAGGCUUACAAAGGCCUAUGAUGACACCAGUGUUGCAAAAUCCUGCGACACCAGUAAAUGGACAGCCCCAAUACCAGGGGGCACCAUUCCAAGCGGCUUACAGACCGGCCAUCGUCAAUACCGGUCAACAGCUGGAAAUUACAUGGGGAUUGCCACUACCUCCGUCGAUGGCAGCAUACCAGCCCCAAAAUGUAGGGGUUAGAGCUGGGGGGCAGGCCCCUAAUGAUAUGCAAGGAGCGAACCCUGCAAUACAGAAUUCUGGAGUUCCUCAAGGGCCAAAUUCGGCUCAAGCACAAGCUCCGCUGUAUGCUCAGAUUGAGGAAGUCAUUCGGAAUACCUUCGGAGUAGGGGCUAGGCCGGCUAUGCGGCCUAUUUUUUGAUCCCCGUAUCCAGCAAACAUAGAUACAGAGCAUCCGUAUCCGGCAAACUGGAAAAUGCCGAAGUUCGACAAGUUCUCGGGCGAUGAGACCGAGAAUACGGUCGAGCAUAUAGCCCGGUUCACGGCCCAAUGUAGAAAAGCGGCCGCUGACUCAUUUUUGAAACUUCGAUUAUUUAACACGUCGUUAAAUAAAACGGCGUUUACUUGGUAUACGAGUUUAUCAGCCAAUUCCGUCCAAGAUUGGGACGAAUUGGAAAGAAAAUUUCAUGAGCGAUUCUAUAGAUCGGAGCCACAAUUAUCGGUCGCCGACUUGGCUUUAUACCGACAAAUGUCAGGUGAAACGGUCGAAGAGUAUUUGGACCGUUUCAAAAUAGCCAAAACCCGGUGCUUUAUGAGAAUGCCGGAAUCAGAGUUCGCCAAAAUGGAAUUAAAUGGUCUGCAUUUUAAGAUAAAAGACCAUUUUGAAGAUAAGUAUUUUUCUAACCUAUUUGAUCUAGGUGUUCGAGUUGCCCAAUACGAGCAAUUUCAGAAGAAAAGUGAGGACGAUCGGCUGCAAUGGAGCCGAUAUAAAAAUCAAAGCAAAGGCAAAGAGAAAUCCUUGCUAGAAGAACAGUCGGUUCAAGAAGAGCCGAGCAAAUCGAGUGAAAGUAAAGAAUCGGCUGAUGAAGCCAAGAUAUAGCCACUUUCUUUAAGAAAAAUUUCUUGAUAGAAAAGCAUUCGGUUCAAGAAGAGCCGAACUAAUCGAAUAAAAGUAAAGAAUCGGCUGAUGAAGCAGAGAUAUAUGUGGCUGGGAUGAUAAAGCGUCGUUUUCCUAAAGCCGACUAUGACCAGCGAAACUAAAGCUUGGGUCUUGGCUGUGCUUUUGAACAGUCGAUUUGACACCAAUAGUCAUCCGAAUGUUCAUUUGAAAGACUAUUGGGGGGCAUUGUUGAUACCAAAAUUGAGCCGACCUAACCCACGUACGAGCCAAUAAGGACACGUGGUACACCAAGAGUCGGCAGUAAGGCGCCUGAAGGACAAGAAGGCGGGAACGGUUGAAGAUUGGGGCGUAACUUCCAUGAGGAGUUAGCGUAACUUCCAUGAGGAGUUAGUAUAACUUUCACGAUCAUGGUUACAACCACUCCCCCAACUACUUUCAACCAACUAAUAAUGUGGGCUAUAAAUAGUAACUUUGAAGCCUGCAAUUGGGGUCUUUGCCCCUGCGCACAAAAGACUACCCUUAUUUCCUCUGCAUUUUAUCGCUUUUCUAGGAGUAGUCUAAAUGUAAUCUUUUUCUUUUUCGCAUUUACUGCUCUCCUAGGAGUAGUUCUUGUAACUUAGAUCUUUGGAGUCUGUCUGCCCUAUGGGCAUCACUCCCUUACAGUAUUGGAGUCUGUCUGCCCCAUGGGCAUCACUCCCUUGUAGAAUAUACUUGGAGUCUGUCUGCCCCACGGGCAUCACUCCCCUAUUCUUGUACUUUUCCAUUUUCUAUUCAAUAGAAAGUCACGUUCGGCUAUUCAGGCCGACCAAAUUUUGUGUUGUGCUAGCCAUUCGGCUCAUCUCUCAGUCGAAUUCUGGGCUUUCCCUCUUCAUUCGGCUCAUCCUGCCGAAGCGAAUUUACUGCGGAGGUUUUCGAACCCGGCUGAUUCGAUCCCUCAUCGGCCUAAUCGCUUGAUCCUCUGUGGGCGCAUACUUUGAGGGUCAUAAUCCUCAGCCGUCUGGCAGCCCGACAACCUUCCCAAGGAGAAUUGUUGACCGGGUCAAGAGUCGGGUCGUUCGGCAUGCAACAGUAUAUAUAUAAUUUUUAUUAUACAAGCAUAAAAAGUAAUAGUUCUGGAGUUAUGACAUUAUACUGAUUUCAUUCAAUUCAGCGGUCGAACUGCUAGUUGAAUCAGUGAUCUGUAAUUCUGCAAUAUUUUUAUCUAGUAAAUGAUUUCAAAUUUUAAAAUAUUGGUGGACAUAAUAUAAUGAGAUUAGAACUUGUUUUAUGUAGCUAGGAACAAUUGCUUAUAUAUUUCUAAAAAGUUUCAGAUUUUCUUAUUUACUCCGUUUAGAAGGCUAAUAUAAAAGAGUAAUGCUUCUAUACUUUUUUUUUUUUUUUUGUUACCGUUCAUUCAUGCGUAUUCAACGGCUCAGAUUUAAUUUUUUUAAAAUUGUGACCUGCAAUACCAGGUCAUUUUGGGAGAGGUAUCGGUUACCAGGUAUCUCAAAAAAGGGCAUUUUUGGCUUUUAAUAUAUGGGCAAUUUAGUCAUUUUACCUUUACUAUAGUUUACCUCAAAUUUUUUAUUUUUUCUUUAUUUCCUUUUUCUCUCUUUAUCUUUCCUUUCAUAAUUUGGCAUUUCAUAUAAGAAAAUUUUCAAAUGAUUUGACAAUACGAUCUUUUAAUUUUUCUUUUCUCUUUGUUUAUUUGUUUAAUAUUGCAAAUCAAUUUAAUUUUAAGAAACUAUGCAUUAAAAUUUAUUUCCAUACCUAUUGCUUUCUAAAUUUUUUAAUAAAAUAAAAUGAAAUUUAGAUUAUUUUGUGAUUUAAUUUGUAGUUAAUUUUUUUCUAGUUCGAUCUGCGAAUUUUCAAAUUUUAUCAUAUUGUAGGAUAUUAAUUUUGUUUAGUUUGAUAGUAAUAACUUGUUGAAAUUUGCAUGGCUAAUGGAUCAGAAAACAAUAUUCCGAUGGAAAAGGUGGUGGCAUUAUAAACUUAAAAUUGAAUUAUAACAUAUAAAUUUAUUUAUUGAUAAGUUUAAACUGUACUACAUUAUUUAGAUUUAUUGAAGAUUUCUCUAUACUUUUUAGGUUCUAAACUUUAAAUUUAUUUUGUUUCGGCUUAUAUUUUAAAUUACAAUACAUGAUCUUAUUAUUUUUAAAAAUUAAUUUUUACGACCAAAAUUUAAUUAAUUUUGUCUAUACAAUUCUAUUAUAAAAAUAAAUUUAAAUUAUACCCUUACCCUAAUAUUCUAAUCAAUUAUCUGCAUAAAUUUUUUAAAUAGUGAUAAAGAUUACUAUCUAAUAAGAAAAAUUAUUAAAUUUUUUUAAACAUAUUAAUAUGCUGAAUUUAAAUAUUGCCCACAUUUAAUUUUUUAAAAUUAGUAUACAAAAUUAAUGAUUAAGAUGAAUUCCUAAUUUUGUUAAACGUAUUAAAUAUGUUAAAUUUAAUAAUUACCAACAUUACGAAUGUUUUUAAAUAGUCAUACAAAAUUAAUAUCUAAAGUAGAACAAUUCUAAAUUUUUUUUAACUUAUUAAAUACAUUUAAAUUAUAAAUAUUUUAACCUACAUUCAAAAUUUUUUAAAUAAAUGAUACAAAAUUAAUGUCUAAACUAUAGGAAUUUAAAAGUUCUUAAACAUAUUAAAUAUGUUGAAUUUAAAUAUUUACCAACAUUACAAUUUUUUAAAUAGUAAUAUAAAAUUCCUCUAAUUUUAAUUACACUUUAAAAUUUUAAAUAUUUAUAUAAAAAUUAAAUUCAUAGUAUUUAGAAAUAGAACUAUUUCUAAAAUUCCUAUAAUUUAAAUUAAUGCAUAAUUUUAGAAACACUAAAACAUUUAAAGUAGAUGCCUAAAUUAAUGCCUAAUUAAUGCAUAACUUUGGUUAAUCAAUUAAUUUUCUAAAUUAGUGCAAAUUAAUGCGUAAAUUUAGGACCUCAAUUAAAAGUUUCUUUAAAUGUUGUAUUGUUUAAUUACCAAACUAAUCUUGAAUAAAAUAAUCCUUUUACCUGCUAAGUAGUAAAAUUACAUUUUUACCCUCUAUUAAUCAAUGGUUAAGAUUUUUUUAAUUUUUUUUAAAAAAAGUACCGAAUCAUUUCUCAACAUAAAAAAAUACUCUUUUAACAUUCCAAGUUCUUUCAUAUAUAUCACUAGAGUUAAAUUUUGUUAGUGAACUGUUAAGAAUAGUCAUUAUUUAUAUAAAAUUACUAUUUUGCCAUUUUAAGUCACCGAUUUUUUUUAUUUGUUUUUAAGUAAGUGACAAAAGAGGCAUUUUUCCUUAUUUUUCUUUCAAAUAUAUUCUUCUACCGUCGCUAACUUUUUGUACUGUCCUUAAGUUAAAAGCAAAACAUAUAUUUUGACUUAUUUUAACUCGACUUAAAAUUUAACUUGUAUUUAGCUUGAGAUGACUGAAUCGAUAUUAACAACAAAUUAUUUAAUGAGAAAUAUACAAUGGGUAUGUAUAUUUGAAACGAAAGUAAAAAUAUAUAAAAUAUUUUAAAAUUUUUGGGAGGCAUAAUUAUUAUGCGUUAUAAACUUAUAUAAUGGUUUAAAAAGUUUUUUUUUUUUUUUUUGGCAAGAGAAACAAAGAAAUAGGAAAGAGAGAGAGAGAGAGAGGAUGAAGUAUUUUCAAUGGGUGGGACUUUCGAUGCUUAACGAACUGAGUCUGAGCACUUGCCCGCUUUAAAUUUCGGGUCACGAGCGCAACAUGUGAAGAGGAGACUAGUAAAAAGUAGUAGUAAUAGUAGUAAUAGUAGGCGCGCGUGGGGAGGCGCGCUUCGUUUGUUGUUUGGUGCUCGAUCCCCCGCACUGGGAAUUAGAUUAUGCUGUGCGGGGUGGGGGGUGAAAAUGUUACGUAUAAGUCCCUCUACUAUCCUGAUAUUGCCUCUCAGUACGUCUCUGCACUUUUUAUUCCAACAUUAUUAUUUUAAUUAGUCUUUGAACUUAAUUUCUAAUUUACCCCAUUAUAAUCUCUAAUAUAUAUAUAUAUAUUAAAAAAAAAAGGUAGAUUACACUAUAGUUGCUCAAACUAUGGGGCACGUGACACUUUGAUACUCAAAUUUUUAAUUUGUUGUAAUUUCUAACUUAGUUUUUUUUGAAUCAUUAUAAUAUAACUCAAUUUGUUUGACUAAGUAUAAAUAAAUUAUUGAUAUAAAAGUGAUCGAUAUAGUAUUUAAAUUGUUAUCGCAUCGUGAAUCACCAUACUUUCACAUUUCUUCUAUAUCAAUAAUUUGCCAAUAUAGGUCGUGAGACUUGAUUGCAAUAAUUUAUAAAUUUCGAAUAAAAAACUAUAACAAAUUAAAGUUUGGAGAUCAAAGUGUCACUUGCCUCACAGUAUGAGGAUCAAAAGUGUAAUUUAUCCCAAAAAAAACAUAAUAAGAAAUUGUUUCGCUUCUUCCUUUAUUAUAUCUCUCUUAGUUAAUUAGUUUGCCCAAAUGAGUGCCAAUUUAGUACCUCUUCUAAUUCUGAAGUCAGUAGUGUUGAACAUACAAUAUUUGACACCAUUCCUGGCAGCUUAAGCUUUUGGUGACCCUUUUUUUUUUUUUUUUUUUCAAACUAGUAUCAGAUCAUGCGGUCUUGAAUUCCAGUCUCACCAAACACCUUGCCUUGUUUAGUUUUUUUUAAUCUAAUUGAAGUCCAAGUUUUUAGCUUAUUAAACUAUCUUACGUCUAGGCGUGGUGAAAAAUAUAGAAUAAUAUAAUAUUAAAUACUAUUCUCUGUCCUGUUUGGUUGGGGAACAAUGGGAGAAUAAAGGGUUAUCUCCUUCUUGUUUUCCAAACACUAAUUUUUAAAGGUGAGAAUAGCUGUUUCCACCCCUGCAUGGAACAACACUAUAUCCACCCUCUUCCUCUCUCCCAUCUUUUAUAAUAAAUUUUACAUUUUAUAAUUUAUAAUUUAAAUUUUAAAUUUUAAAUUUUAAAUUUUAAAUUUUAAAUUUUAAAAAUUUAAAAAUUUAUAAUUUAUUAUUUUAAAACUAAAAAUUAUAAUUUUAAAUUUUAAAUUUUAAAUUUGAUAUUUUAAAUUUUAAAAUUUAAAUUUAGUCUUAAAUUUAAAAUUUAACAUUUUAAAUUUUAAAAUUUAAAAUUGGAGAUUUAAAAUAUAAAUUUUAAAAUUUAAAAUUUAAAAAUUCAAAUGUAAAAUUCAAAAUUCAAAAUUAAAAUUUAAUGAGAGGAAUAAUAUUGUUAUUUUAUAUUUAUAACUACCGCCUAUUUUUUUUAUUCCAUCUUAUCUUUUCAAACAUUAUUUUUUUUGUUCUUGAAAAUAAUCUAAUUUUUAUUCAGGCGUAAAAUUAAUCUAAUUCUUACUGAUACCUGAACUUAUAUUUAUUUCUGAAAUAAACAGUUCUAAUAUAUACCUGAGUUUACCAAAGCGAAGCCUAGUUUAAACUUUUGAAGACAACAACUGUCUCACAUCUUUUAUUGAGUAGUAGCUUGUCUAAUAAAAUACUGGUUAAACAAAGAGGUAUGGAGGUACGAAACUUCUAUUACCAUGAAAAUUAAUAAAUGUAUGCGUUACAAACUUAUGAGCAGAGCUUUAUUUUGAUGCUUCUAAUUUAUAGAAAGGAGUUGUACACAGAAAUGUCAAUGGGUAUGGAUACUCAAAAUUUUAUCAGAAUUUGAAUCCGAAUGAAACGGAUAUAUCCGAUGUUAAAUGGAUAUAGAUUAAUUUGGAUAUGGAUAUCAAAAAUAGAAAUCCGACGGAUAAGGAUUUGGAUAUGGAUUUUGACUGUACCGAACCCGAACCCGACCCGAACACGAAUUUAUUUUGUAUUAUAUAUAUAUAGUCCGGCUGCUAUGCUAUCGAUAGCACCAAGUACUUUGUGCUAUCAAGUUUUCCGCCGUUAGAUUAAUCCCUUUAAUUAUUUUUAUCCGUUAGAUUAUACUAUUCAACCAACCACCCAUUUAACUCAACUUUAGGGGGUCCGAAUCAUCCUAACCGUAUAUUUCUCAAUCCAAGGGCUAAAAAUUCAAUAGCACCAAUAACUUGGUAGUAUUGAUAGUAUUCCAGCCUAAUUUUAUAUAUAUAUAUAUAUAUAUAUAGAGUUGGAUUGGGCUACUAUUAGUAGCAAAAUUUUAUUGUUGCUACUAGUUUUUUAGCCUUUGGAUCAACUCUUUUUAUUAUUUCUAACCAUUGGAUUAAAUACUAUAACUCAGUGGGGACCACUCAACCCUAGAGGGACCACUCAACUCUAACCAACUAAUAUCAUCCUGAUCUUACAAUUUUUCAUCCAAAGGUUAAAAACUUGAUAGCAAAAAGAGUGUUUUACUAUUAAUAGUAUUCCAGCCUAAUUCUAUAUAUAUAUAUAUAUAUAUAUAUAUGAGUUGAGCUAUGAUACUUUUACAAGUAUCACCAUCAUGGUGCUAUUAGGUUUUAAGCCAUUGGAUCUACUUUUUGAUUAUUAAUAGCACNUAUAUAUAUAUAUAUAUUAGAUGUUAUAUUUGAAUUUGUAUUUUAAAAAUUUAGAUUUAAUAAAAUAUAUUUUGAAAUAUUUAAAAAAAAAUAAUUGUUUCGGGUUCAAAUUUUUGGGUUCGGAUUCGGGUUCGGGCUUCGAAUUUUUGGUCAGGUUCGGAUUUGGAUAUGGAUUUUUAAAAUCCGUCCGGUUUGGGUUCGGGUCUCGGGUUUGAAGUCGGGUUCGGGUUUGGGUUUGUAAAACUCCACCCCGAAUCCGACCCAUUGACAUCCCUAGUUGUACGAGGAAUAUAUGAAUAUUACGUUUUCUAAAUAUACCACCAGCACUAUAUUUAUAGCAGAGCUAAAUAUAUAGAUCUUAUUAUUAAAAAUAUUAUUAACAAUGAAUGUCAGCAAAUAUCAUUAUUGUUUUUUAAUAAUUAUGGACUGUUGAUAAGUAAUCUAAUAUUUUUGAUAAGUUUAUAUUUAUUUCUGUCAAGUUUAUCUCUUAAUAUUUUGUUGGUUAGACAUAAGAGAUAAGUUUAAAUCUAGUUCAAUUAUUAUUAUUAGGAUUUUGAUUUAUGUCUAUAUAUAAACUGCUGUAAAUAUGUGAAAAAUUAUCCACCAGCGAAAUUUAGUUUAAAAAUAUUUAAUAAAGUUUUAGUUUUAUACUCCUCUCCUUUCAACAAAUGGUAUCAGAGCAAGAAAAUACUAUGUGAUUUAUAAACCAGAUGACAACAUAUUCGAAAUGAACAUAGUCCUAAUAGACCGGAUAGCUACGUUAAAGUCAAGUGACUCGUAAUUGAUUAACGAAGGUGAAGUUCAGGUGAAACCAAAGCUACGAAAUCGUUUUGAAGAAAUUGGCCUCCGCACAAUAAACGACAGCAGGAGGUUGUGACACUUGACGAAAAGAGAGUAAGGAGAGCCCAUGAAGAGAUCCAAGAAGAUUUGACCAGAUAACCAAGAGGGCUAGGCAAGCAAGCCAAAAUACAAAAAAUUUGGCAAAAUCUCGAUGAACUAAGAACGUCAUCUAAACAGAAGGUACAAAUCUGAAAAUUUUUUUUCGGAUUUUCAAGUUUUGUUAUGGAUUUAGAUAAUUAGUUUAUUCAACCUGGCUUACCAAAGUUCGAUGGAACGAAGUUUAAACGAUGGAAAACUAUCAUUCGAUAUUUUUUUAAAAUCCCAAGAUUUGUGGGAUGUGGUGGAAAAUAAAAAUUAUGAAAAAGAAUUAUGUAAAGACGAAUUUAAAAAGAGAGAUAGAGAAGUUCUAUCAUAUAUUUUUUAAGCAGUGGAUUUAUUGUUGGUUGGAAAAAUUUCAAUGAUAAAGACGACACGAGAAGCGUGGAGAAUGCUAUCGAAAAUUGGAGAAGAUUUGUAGGGAGAGAAUGAAAUUCAAGAAGAAGAAAUUCAAUCCAACAGCGAAAAUACAGAAGGCCCAAUUUGGAAAGAAAAUUUUGAUCAAAAUCAUAAAGAAGAUCAGAUUCGUGAAGAAUAUGUUGAUCAGCAGAUAUAUGGAAAAGCCGACUCAGAUGCAUCUACAAGUAGUAAAGCGUAUUUUACGUUAUAUAAAAGGAACGGUCAACUAUGGUAUUUUUUACGCUUACGGUGGCAAAUCCGAACUCAUCGGAUUCACCGAUAGCGAUUGGGCCGGCGACGUAGAAGAACGGAAAAGCACAUCAGACAACCUAUUUUUUCUUGGAAGCGGCGCAUUCACAUGGUUGUCGAAGAAAUAGGAUAUCGUGGCUCUCUCGACAGCAGAAGCCGAAUACGUGGUGGCAUCAGCAAGCGCUACACAAACAAUUUGGCUUAGAAGAGUUUUUGAAGAAUUUGAUGAAAGUCAAAAGGCACCUGCAAAAAUAUUUUGUGAUAAUAGCUCGGCUACAGCAAUCGCAAAAAAUUUAAUUUUUCAUGAAAGGUGUAAAUAUAUUGAAGUCCGUUAUCAUUAUAUUCGAGAACUUGUGAAGAAGAACGAGAUCGCGCGAACUACACUUUUGCAGAAGCGAGAAUCAAAUCGCCGAUAUAUUUACGAAGCCGUUGACAUCGGAAAAUUUCGUGAAACUACGAAAGCUACUCGGAAUGCGAAAAAUUGGAUUAAGGAAGAAUGUUGAUAAGUAAACCAAUAUUUAUGAUAAAUUUAAAUUUAUUUCUAUCAAGUUUAUCUCUUAAUAUUUUGUUAGUUAGACAUAAGAGAUAAGUUUAAAUCUAGUUCAAUUCUUGUUAUUAGGAUUUUGAUUUAUAUUUAUAUAUAGACUGCUGUAUAUAAAUGUAUGAAAAAUUACCCAUCAUCAAAAUUUAGUUCAAGAAUAUUUAAUAAAAUUUUAGUUUUAUACCCCUCUCCUUUCAACAGGGACUAAAGUGUAUACAUAAGCAAUGGUUCAAGGACUACAGAGCCACGAAAUUGGAAUAGUACAAGGACUAUUCAUACAUUUUACCCAAUUAUAUUAUAGGGUGGUAAACUUGGGGUUCACCAGUAGAUUAAGAAUCCAAAUCUUACUUAUUAAUCACAGAGCGCCUCCACAAAUGCGGAGUAUUUUACUCGGAAUCCUCUUCAAUUAUUGGAUCACUCAUAGAUGUUAAGUAUUUUAUAGUCAACAUAAAUUAUUUCAGGUCAAUUAGAUAAAAUAUAUCUGUAACUUAAAACAAUUGAGAGAUUGCCCUCUCAGUGGCUCAUGGCUAUAUCAAUUAUCAACACUAAUUGGGUCGUGUUAAUAUAUAUUUUGAGGCAUGUUUUCAACUAGAUCGAAUCUUUAGAUAAUAUGGUAUCAGAGCUAAUUCUAAAUACUUUCAUUCUGUGAGAUUGUAAAUUUAAUCCUCACAUUUAUUAUUUUGCAGGUUAAAUUUCUGCAUUACGUAAUAGGUUAAAUCUCCCUCCUAUUCCGUACUAUAUAAUAAGUUAAAUUUUUUCUCUUACCUUGUCUUUCAUAUCUAUCAUACAUGGAAGUAGAGAUGUUAAUUAUAAAAAAUUGAGUUGAGCAGAGCUGAUAAGGUUAGAUUUAUUCUAGCUCUGUAAAAAUCCGUCUCUUAUCUUUUUCUUAUGUUGGUUUUUUUAAAAAAACUUAUUACCUUUUCUUUUGUUUCCUCAAUGAAUUUUGUAGGCUUCACAAUGUCCUCCUCUUAACUAGAUUUCUUGUUGAAUAAAAAUAGGUUAAAUUACAGAAAACUACCAGUAAAUACCUUUUUACUUAAUUUUUCUCUUUGGCUUUCAAAAACCUAUAUUUUGCUCCUCUUAAAAUUUCAGAAAUAUUUUCAGGAGGGUAUAACGUUAAUGAAGAAGGCAAAAUGAUCAAAUUAUCCUCAUUUCUUUUAUAAGAAAAAAAAUAUUUUUUUAAUAUAUUUCUAUCAUUUUGAAGGAUAUUUUCGAUAUAAAUUAUAAGAAAUGGAUGGAAUAAUAAUGAAACUCUAAUGAAGGAAUGCUAAAUGCAAUAAAUUAAAAUAUUGAGGGAGUAAAAUAUAAAUUUUUAAAAAUCAUGAAGGGAAAAUAAAAAAUACAAAUAUUUAUAAAACAUUUUCUAUAAUUUAGCUUUGAAAUUAAAAGUAGAUGUGCAAUAUCCAGCCUAGUUUUUCCAUGAUACUUAAAACCAAGUAGAGGGCACAAAAGGAAUUAUUGAGUACAUGCAUGGACCAACAGUUGGUAAUCACCUUUGAGUCUUGUCCUCAUCAUGCAUGUCUGCCCCAACUAUUCAAUAAUAAAUCACUGUACAUUCUCUACAGGAAAACCAUUAUAUAUAUAGAGAGAGAGAUGGUAAGCUCCAACAAUGAAAUAUUACUUAAAUUAUUUUAAAAAAAUUUUAAUGAUGUUAAGUCAAAAUUUUGAUUUAACUUUGGCUGUUAAAUAUAAAAAUAUUUAAAUACUGUUCUCUAACAGCUUAAACUUUUAGAGUACAACGGUUGUUUCACAUGGUAUCAGAGAACGGUGUUUAAAUAUUUUUAUAUUUAACACCCCCCCUCACGUCUGGGCUCGAAACUUUUUGCAAGAUCCCUAACAAGGACUUGAAUUAAAUGGUAGGAAAUUAAUUAUGCUAGGACCUGACAUGACUUGAACUCAAGAUCUCCUACUCUGAUAUCAUGUGAAACAACCGUUGUACUCUAAUAGCUUAAGCUAAGCUAUUAAAGUACAACGGUUGAGUACAACGGUUGUUUCACAUUGGCCAAUCAAUUAAUUAACUAUUAGCCGAUUAAUAUUGCUUUAGCUUUUAUUACUGCAUGCUAAGUGAUUAAAGUAUUAAAGUCUUAUAUAACAGAUAAAUUCAAUAAAACCUUCAAAUUAAUUAACUAAAAUCGCUCAAAAAAUUUUAGAAUAAGCUCUAUAUAUAUAUAUAUAUAUAUAUAUUAUUACCUUAUAUUUACUAGGAUAUCACAACUCACAAGCAAACUCUUUCUCUCGUAUUAUUCUACUCAAUCAGUGACAUCACUGCAACAUACAUUAUUCGUGACAAGAGAGAAUGGAAUAGGAGAGUUGAUAGGCUGGGCCAGCAUUCACGUGGCAUUUUCACCAACUUUUAAUUAACUCUUAAAUAAAUAAACAAAAGCUUUUCUCAACACGUAUUCACGUACGUAUCCAUGUCAAAAUCUAAUGGCCAUUCUAUAUGGUCGAUAGCUAGGUUGAUUUUUUUUCUUUUUGUUUUGUUUUUUUGUUUUUUUGGUUCUGUGUUGGUUUGGUUAGAGCCGCAACAAGAAAAGAAGGGUGAAGUCUUUACUCUCACUAUCAUUGUUAAUGAAGGCAUCGAAGUUAGGGCUGCCAAUGAGGUAGGUAACACAUGAGCUAGCUGGGGCGACUUGUGUUCGCCCAUAUGUUAAAUAAGUCAAAUAAAUAUGAGCUUAUUUGUUAAAAUAUUAAACUAAAUAAUUUAGCUCGUAUUUGACUUAUUUAUUAACAAGCCAAAUACGAACUUGCUUGUGAAUAACAAAUUAGAUUGCCAACGCUAUUACUGAAUGAAAAGUUUUUAAAAAAAUUACAAAAAAUUAAAAUUUUAAUCUAAUAAUUGAAAUCUACAAAAUAUAAGUCUCUUUGCAUUUGGAUUAGCCUAAAAUCCAAAUACUAAAAUUAUAUAUAUAUAUAUAUAUAUAUAUAUAUAUAGAGAGAGAGAGAGAGAGAGAGAGAGAGAGAGAGAGAGAGAGAGAGAGAGAGAGAGUUGGGCUGGAAUACUAUUGAUAGCAAAAUAUUCUUUUUACUAUCAAAUUUUUAACCCUUGGAUGAGAAAUUGUAGGGUUAUGAUGAUAUUAGUCAGUUAGGGUUGAGUGGUCCCCUAGGGUUGAGUGGUCUUCACUGGGUUAUAAUAUUUAAUCCAAUGGUUAGAAAUGAUAAAAGGAGUUGAUCAAAGCCUAAAAACUUGAUAGCAAAAAGGACAUUUUGCUUUUAAUAUUAUUCUAGCCCAACUCUCUCUCUCUCUCUAUAUAUAUAUAUAUAUAUAUAGUAUAGGGCUAUUAUACUCUUAUGAAUAUAAACUUCUUAAUUUAUACUCAUAAAUUUUUUGUCGUUGGAUGAAGGGAUGUAUGGCUAAGAUAAUAAUGAUUCCCGAGUAGAACGAUAGUAAUCCCCUAGGGUUGAGCGGGUGGUUGAUUGAAUAAUAUGAUCUAAUUGGUGGAAGCGAUCAAAAGGAUAAAUUUAACGGCCAAAAAUUUACGAGUACAAAGUAAUUUAUACUCAUAAAAGUAUAAUAGCUGGAUUAUAUAUUGAGCCGAACACGAGCAACUGAUCUUAACUCAUGUUCGGCUCAUUAAAAUUUCAAGCUAAAAAAUUCAGCUCGUUUAUUAAACGGGUGAUCAGUUCGAACUCAUUUCAAGUUGAACACGAGCUGGCUCGCAAAUAGCGAACUGGAUUGUUAGUCCUAAUUAAUUGUAGUGUUGAGCAUAAAUUUUAAAAAAAAUUUUCAUUCUCACUUUGAUAACUUAAACAUUUGGAAAACAACAAUUAUUUUAAAUUACUUUAACAUGAUAUAAGAGCAGCAUUUGCUGACUGAUUUGAAUGAAAAAGAUGUAAAGUUUACGCACUUUUGAGUGUACGUAUAAGUAGUAUUGCUCUGUAUUCAAAUUGUCCGAGAGAAAGAGAGGAAAUACAUUAAAUGGAAGGAAGGGUCAUAUAUAUGGUUAAUAAUUGAAACAAAUUAAACUAUUACCAAAUAUAGAACUAACAAUUUUAAUUGAAUUAGGAUAUGUGUUAUGAUAUAUCCUAUAACACUUAUCUUAUCCUCUACCAGCAUUUGCUCCAAAACUCUCUAUUUUGCAAAAUUCAAACUUUUGUACACACUUUUUACACUCACUCUUUUGUGAAUGGAAUUUAGAAGUACUUCAAAGGAUGUUUUUAUUUUCUUCUUUUCUUGUUUAAAAUAUUACUGUAAUUACCAAAACAGAGUGGUAUACAUUAAUUUUUAAACAUUAUAGAAUAAACUCUCUCUCUCUUUAUUUGCAUUACUAAUUUUCCAAUUUUAAUCUAGACUUGUCAGAGGGGAAUAAGUAAGAUCAUUAUUGUGUUGGCCAUCACACCUUUUCCCCUUUUUUCAAGCCAUAUGUAUAAAUAGUUCUUAUGUAUAAUUGGGUUUAAAAAAUUAUUGGUGUGGACCUUGUCCUACUCUUGAGCCUAAUGAUUAAAAUGGUGCCUCCUCUCAACCAGCAGUAGAAUCAUAACUCCUUGAUUUUGAUGAUCUGCUUAUAUUGUAUUGUUUCAAUAACAGUACAUCUUAUGUUUUGGUGCAUUCCCAUUUCUAAAUUAUUAUUAUUAUCAUCAUCAUUGUUAUUAUUCUGCCUACUCUAUGCCAGUGAUUGAGUCCUCUCAUACUAAAUAAAUGGCCAAUUACAUAAAGCACACGCCCUUAAGAUUAUGUGUCCGUUUUUCUCUGCUAAAAAAUAUAGAAGUUUCUAGAAACCAAACGGUUGGGGGAAAACAAGUUCAGAGUUAAGAUUUUUUGUGUUUGAAAAACUGUUACUAUUUUUUUUAAAUAACUCUAUCAAACAACACUUCUACAUAAACAUGCUGGUCAACUAGUCUCUAUAUACACAUAAAUCAAUACAAGUUUCAAAAAAACAUUUAGUGAGGGUGUCAUGGGGAAAACAAAGGCCACUAUUCUAGAUGUAUGGACCCCCAAAAAAAAAAGGCUAGGGUUCAUAUGAAUCUCUUAAAAUCCAAAUGGUGAAGAACAUGUGAGUCCCUCGCACAAGAAUAUGUCCCAGUUGUUGGAAUCAACUGGGACCAUCUUUACUUUCAACCCCUUUCUCUCUUUUAUAUUUCUCUAUUAGUUUCCAACUGUGAAGCCUAUGAACUGUGAAGCAUAUGCUCUCUCUCUCUCUCUCUCUCUCUCUCUCUCUCUCUCUCUCUCUCUCUCUCUGCCCCUCUUAACUGGAACAUGGCAGCAUCCUAGGUAACCUACCAUAACUAGAACAAGUUGGAAUCCUAGAUUAGGGUUGUGAAAGCAUGCAUUAGUUUACCAUAAAGUAGUUUUUUUUUUUUAAUCUUUACCCUCCUUUUCUUCUGCUUUAUUGGAUUCUGGUGACAAGCCUUGUGUCUAAACUAAUCAAAGGUUUCAUAAAUAACUCUGAUAUGUUUUAAGUUGAUGAUUCUUCACUUACUAUAAUUGUUACCACUAUUCUAUUUUGCAACAAAUCAGUUUUUUUAAGGUUGUCCUAAACCUUGGUUCCAGGAGGAAGAGGUUGUUAUCUCCCUGCGGUAAGAAGCAACGAACUGAUUCAACUUCUAAGUAAAUAGCAUGUUUGGAUCUUAGGGGCUGUUGGUUGAUGUAGUUGCGACCGUACUACAGUCGCAACUACAAAGAGAUUCAAAUUUGAAAGUGUAUGAAACUAUAUUAAUAGGCUUAACUAUCAAAGUUGAAACUACUCCCAAAUCACCCAUAGUUCCAACUACAUCAGUUUGAACCAAAAAAUAAAACUUACCUCCCUAGUAACUUGUGAAAAAAAAAAAAAAAAAAAAAAAAAAAAAAACUACAAUGAAGGUAAUCUCACUAGUACAGAUAUAAAGUAAUAAAAUUUUAAAAAUGCAAUUCUUAAUAGAAUACAACCAAACAAAUUAUUUAUUAUUACAACACUUUCUACUACAUCCAACCAAAUAAGAUACAUAUAGUUACAACUACCGUACGCUAAGUGCAUGCAUAUCUAACUAUAUUGUAUUUGUAAUUACAUCCAUUCAAACGACCUCUUGGAGUUGGAUCAAGUAGCUAAUUGGAUUGGAUUAAGCAAAGAGCUUUAGAUUGUACAACAAUUUAUUUAUCCAAAAUAGAAAUAGUAUCAUAAAUAUGAUGAGCACCAAAUAGAUUAUCAUGGUUGUAUUUAUGCCUUAGUAAUGCCCACUAGCACUCCUACUAUAAUAAGGCUUUCAACUGGGAUGUCAAGAAGAAUGCAAUUUCAGAAGUACAAAACCACAUUUACUGACUGCCAUAUAUACAAAACAGACUCAUCGAUACUAUUUUGAGGUAUAUUGAAUCGACAAAGCAUUACUCUACUUCUUAUGUUUUCGUUAGUUCAAAAGAUGGGACCACGAGUUACAAACUCAGAUUGUAUUAAUAUCGAAAGCGAGCCUGCGGAGGUUCUUCAGAAGAGUUACCACCGCUUCCUGCUCCAUUCAUCAGGGAAAUGAGUAAGCGAAGAACAAGUGAGAUAGCUGGACCUCAAAAACAAAAAGUUACAAAGACCAAAAGGAGCAGCAAUAAUAGGAAAAGAAAACAAGAAGUCCAAAAGUCGCAAGAACAGGGGCAAAAAACCAUCAAUCCCCAGCCAUCAAUUGUAGGUUUAAGUCGCAGCUUGUAUCAUGGCACAACUCUUUUUGAACUGCUGUGUUUCAUAUUCGGAUUUUGUCUCGCUCCACUCGAUCCGAGAUUGAGAAGUCAUCACUACCAGAAUCACUCUUGUCAUGCAUCUACAGCCUUCAUGCUUGUUGCUGCUAAGGGCACGGACCCAAAAAGAGAAAUCAAGUCACUGAGACAUUUAUUCCUACCCUGUUCACGAAUCUUAAAGGCUGUCAUGUCGUAUCUGCCGAUCUCAUUCAUCUUGCCUGUUAGAAGUUGGAAAGACAAAUACAAUAUCAUACCACUGACAAAAUGUGAUCCGAUUUCAUUGUUUUCAAAUUGCAGCUCUAAAGUAGAUCCAAAUAAGUAAACAUAUAAAUCUAAAGUAAGAUGCAACUAAAGGUAAGGUCUUUUACAACCACGAAAAUCUAAAGCAAUAAACACCAGGAAGUGUAGAAUUGAUAACAUGUGAAUUGCCUUUUCACUUGGAUUGGGAAGCCCAAAAACUUUUGAGAAAAAAGGCAGUACUUCAAAAAAAUUAGGCCUUUGAUCUCUGCUAACCCUUCGGACAAUCAAUAUCUGUUUACCUUUCGGUACAAUGUGUACAUAACUUACAUCAACUAAAUAUCAAUUCCAAAAAUCUGGACAUAAAUAGCAGUCAUUAUCUGUUCCGGUUAAAUAUUAUAAAAGUAUGUCUACAUAUAUAUGGACCAAUUAAAUUCUUGCGUUAUGUAAUAUGCAUGAUGCAACUAUAUAUAAAACCUAUUUCAACUAAAAAGAUUAAAAAGAUAUACUACCUUGAAGCUAUUUAAAUUAUAGUGAUGAUUCUUUGAUAUAAUUAUGCUUAUGUAGGGAAGCAUAGUCAACCCAGAAAUGACAGUUGAUUUGCUUUGUUAGUCCUUCAAAAGUGAAUCAUCCAAAGUUCAUCAAAGAGUUGGUAUAACCAUAAGAUUAACUUUUUAUUUGAGUAGAAAAGUAGCUUCUCGGUUUGCCUUAGAAGGUACUAGAGAAAUUCACAAACCAAGUUCUCAGAAAUUGAACGUCAGUAUUAUCUUCAGGGCCAUGGAUAGUUUUCUAAUGCCAAAUGCAAGGCUAUGAGUAAGCUUCUAGUAUUAUCAAAAUGUUGAAGAACGCAAAAUGGAUAGAUUUGAUUUUCUGCCCUUCAGCAACAGAUUGUGUUCCUCAUGUGUAAAUGAUUUGUGGCACUUCUUUGGGAAAAACAAAUGAAAAGAAAAUAACCAACAUAAACGAAUCAGCUAAUCAAAAUGAGCCUAACAAUUCAGAAUUAAUGCUAAAUCUCAACAGUAUCAGUUAGUGUGACACCAUCAGAGUUUAAAAUAUUCGAAUAUAUAAGGUAUAGGAGGACUAAACCUCUUAACCUGGCUAUAAUAUUUUGGACAGUGGUUAGGCCUAAAAAGUUAAGAGGAUUACGCGAGCCUAGGACUAGAGUAGUUCUAGGUUGGGUGACUCCCUGUGAGGCAGAGCAUCACAGUAAGCGGCUGCAGUGUCAUUUUCAUGCUUCACUAUGUAAAUCAACAGCAAUAUCUGAAUGAUUAAGACAACAUAACUGCAGGUUAUUUUAAUAGUUAACUGUGAUUUGCUUUUCACCAGAAGAAAGAAACAGCUGAUCCAGACUUCAUCAAAUUUCAGUGCUGUUGACAAUGGCUUCUUCAGAUGCCCCGGAUACUACUAAAAAAUUCCAUAGAUACUACCUGAAGGGAAUGGAAUUUUUGGCAAAUGGAGUCAGGAUCCACUAAAGGACUAGCUAGUAAACAAUCGUCAGCAUAACACAAUAUGCCAGGCAAUAAUAUAGGAAACACAAAAAGGCAAUAUUUGCAGUCUGAAAGCCACCAUAGAGAAUUAAUCAGUAAAUUCGAGUCACCAGUGUAUCAUGCUAAAAGAGGGCAAUAGCUUAAUAGCUGCACCUGAGUGCAGCAACAAAUGUUGUCACAAUAAGAUAUUACACCCUCAAUCUUGAUAAGAUGACAUUAUCAAUCUGCUUAAUAUUCACGCAGUAGGUUCAGCAUAUAAUAUAGAUUCAUCGAACAGUGCAUACAGCCAUCUGAAGCUAUAAAAAUGUGUCAUGCAGACUUAGCCAUUUAUCUUUGAUCCAGAUUGGAGGAGCUCCUGUAGCAUUAGCACUGAGGAACGACAUUGCAAGGUCUUCACAAUUCCGACAACAAGAAAAUACUUGAGCAAAUGACAGCAAGACCAAAGAAAUGUGCUUAGAAUUCCAAACAGAAUGUCACAAACCUUUCCUGGGCAACAGAGUCAUGAAUAGAUGAUGGCAUAUGUAUAUUGCUCCAAAUACUUUUUGUAGAAAAAUGCUUCUUUUGGUAGAACCAUACUAUAGGGUAUGCAUCCACCAAACUGACCACCACCCUCCAUAUUUAUAUUGUUGCAAACCAUUCUCCUGUUAUGGGCAAAAUUAUGCAACUCUUAGAAACAGUAUUCUAGUACCAAAACAAACAACAUAUAGAGAUUAGAAGACUAUACUGUGUUGUUGCAAAAUGCAUGCCUACUGAUAGGGCAUUUGCAUCACUUUGCAUCAUUUGGAUAUAGAAGUAUUUGAAUUCUCUAAGUAUAGAAGCAACAGAUAUAGCAAAGAAAUAUACAACUGAAGCAGUCGUGACAACUGAUACAUAAUUUUAGUAAGGGCAUCGUUGUCCCGCUAACAAAUUUUCAAAUAGAACAGGAUCAAAAGCUUCCCGCUAUAGCAGAAGCAGAAGCAGAAGCUUCUACUAGGUUUCUACCUUUAAAAUCCAAAAGCACAUUUUGGGUUUCCGCAGCAAAAAGGCUCCAGAUUCUUUAUUUGCUAUAUGCUUGGUUUUGCCAAGCAAGAAUAGGUCACAAAAUGAACAGUUAUCUUUCAGUACUUACCCUAUCACUAUAGCAUGCAUGGUAAACAGAAAGGGGGAAAAAAAAUAUUUGGUUCCAAUAAAAUAUAAAUAAAUGUACAUUAUCAGAGAAGAGUCUUAUCACAUGAUCUGGCCAAUGCACGCGGGGAACAAACCCCACUACAAUCUCCGGUGCACUUGCCAUACUGCGAAUGCAAAAUCCAAGGCAGCACAAGGGACAAUUACAUCAUCAUCAACUGAAAAGAUUGUGCCGCUAUUAAGGUCCUCGAUUGGCUUGAAUCUAUUAUUCAAAAUCUAUUAUUCAAAUUAUCUUCCGCAUUCAACCCAAAUCUGAAUUCAGUGUUACAUUGAGACCAUGAGAAUACAAUGUCUCGAAUAUAUUCAAUAAGACUAGCUGGCGUUGGGUUCUUUGCAUCGCAAACUACAUGUAUUAGAUUAGCGUGAGUACAAGAUGCAUAAUCAGUGGCAUGUUACGGACAAAAUGUUUUCCGCUGACUUCUCCUUGAUAGUAGCCCAAUCUCCAAAAGAGCGUUCUGUCAGAGGUUCUGCUGGGGUGUUCUAGAAGCUUCUACGUGGAUCUCAAGACUGAUGGUGCGGAUGCUGAAAGGUCAAGAGUCCCUUAGAGCUUCUAGGUGGGAAAUAAUUGUAGUCUCUUAGGAGCUUGUAGCCUCCCUCUUUGUCUUGUAAUUAUGCGCCACUUGUCGCCUUUUCAUUUGUAGCCUGGGUGACGAGUGGCCUAUAUAAGGUUGUGGCCUCCACCCCCUCUCUUAGGAAAUCAGUUGCACUCUCAACUUUUAUCAAUACACAACAUUCCUCAAACUCUCUCUCUCUUGUACUUAGUCUAGGGCGAGUAGGUCCUAACUUAGCAAGUAGAAAGGUAGACUUGCUCAUUUCGCAAAGGAAGGCGAGUGUCGCAUGGGCUAAACAAACGAUUUAGCUUAUGUCCGUGACAGUUGGUAUCAGAGCGAGUUCAUUGCUGAAAAGCCAUGUCUUCGUCGGAAGCUACCGUCGGUGACGUUGUGCCUAACGACCAAGCGCGGCAAAAGCAAGAAGCCACGGACUCUGGCUAGAGAGUCCGCCUCGCUCGAGGACCGCAUGAGCAUGCUAGAGGACUCUGCUGCAAAAACAGAGGAGCACUACUCCGUCCUAUCCCAACAUGUGAGGAUAAUGGAGGAUGGACUGAAUGCUAUGAAGGAUAACGUUGCGGCUGCCAUGGCAACUUUCCGCCAUUAGCUCGAGGAAUUCCACAGGGACCUCGCCCGUCGCGAGGACGAGCGGAAGAUGCUGGUGGAGGACUUUGCCACCAGGGUCGACGAGGUCGAGGACCUUAAGAUACGGGUGACCAUAAUUAAGAAGGCGGUGGCUCGUGGCAUCGAUAUGCAAAACGAGGACACCCCAAAGAUCCGCGUCCCUAAACCCCAAUGCUUCAAGGGCAUGCGCGAUGAGAAGGAGAUAGACAAUUUCCUAUGGCACAGGGAACGCUACCUCAAGGUGCUGCGGUUGGAGGACGAGGGCGAUAAGGUCCAAACAACUUCCAUGUACCUCGCCGACGACGCAAUGUUAUGGUGGCGACGGCAUUCGGCAAAGACCACGAAGGGCCAAUGCGAGCUAAAGACUUGAGAAGACUUCAUGCGCGAGUUGAAGGCACAGUUCUACCCUGAACAUGUCACAUAUCUUGCACGGAGGCAACUUCGAUGACUCAAACAUCGAGGCACACUCAAGGAGUAUGUCCAAGAGUACUCAAAACUCAUGUUGGCGAUCUCCAACAUGGCCGAUGAGGAUCGGCUAUUGUUCUUCCUAGAUGGCCUUCAGUCGUGGGUGAACAAGGAGCUCAUGGCGCGAGACGUGAAGGACUUAAACUCCGCGAUCGCUUUGGCGGAGAAGUUGCCUGAGCAGGAGCGAACCGAGGGCGAUCGAAGUAAACCACCAAAGGCGAGGAAGGCCAAAGGUAGGGGAGGGCACCGCGAUCCAGGGGGCGCGAAGGGGCACAAGCUAAACCGUGAUGCGAGGAGGCAGCAAUAGAAUCCCGCCCUGCCACCUACAAAGAUCUCUUGCUAUGUUUGUGGCGAGAACCAUUGGGCGCGGGACUUCCCAAAGAGGGGCAACCACAAAAGAAAGCAGGUUACUGCGGUCCAAGAUGAGCAGGGCGUGGUCGAGUUGUCGAGGAUGGGCGCGCUAAGGCUCGUCAACGCAGUCCGCAGUCAGCCAAGCGGCAACAAGCUCCGAGAAGGGAGCUCAUGUUCGUCGAUGUGAUCCUCAAUGGAAGGACCAUGCGAGGCGAUGAUCAACAUCGGCGCGAAGCACAACUUUGUCACGAAGGCGGAGGCCAAGCAGUUAGACCUCACACUCAAAAAGGAUGCGAGCCGCAUCAAGACGGUCAACUGUGAACCGCAGCCAAUCGCAGGAGUUGCCAAAGGCAUGGAGAUAGCCAUCGGCCCAUGGAGGGGCAAGGUUAAUCUUAUUGUUGGGCCGCUCGACGACUUUGGAGUAAUCCUUGGGAUGGACUUCCUUAUUUCGUCCAAAGCGGCACCAAUGCCACACUUGUGGGUGCUGAGCUUCCUGGACGAGUCAGCACCGUGCAUGGUUUCGAUGUGUUGGGGCGAGUCGACGAAGGACCAAACUCUGAUAGCCCUGCAACUUUACGAGGAAGUGAAGUGCAGGAAAGCUAAGGAACUCGCAGAGGAAGACCUGAGCAGCGGCGAGACUGUCAAGUCUCAUGAGGUGCUGAAGCAGUAGCGCCCAAUCAAGGUGCAAGUCAUUCUAUCAAGGAACCCGCGGGGACCAAGGGGCGUUCUGCGGCUUGGCGGAGUGCGCGUGCGUGUCACGAAGGACAUGCACACUUGGCGGAUUCUUUGCAUAGCGGGCUCACUGGUGCACAUGCUCAGAGGGGCAAGGCACUAGGAGCUGGUGCGGGGGCAAAGGCGAACUGUGGUAGCAAGGCAUGAGGCCGAUCGAGCGCGAAGGCAUGACAGACUGUGCGGAAGGCUACGCGGACCAGGAGCAGCUCAGCGCAUGACGAGGGCAUCUGUUCGUUAGGUGGGGGAGGUUGUCACGGACAAAAUGUUUUCCGCUGACUUCUCCUUGAUAAUAGCCCAAUCUCCAAAAGAGCGUUCUGUUGGAAGUUUUGCUGGGGCAUUCUAGAAGCUUCUACAUGAAUCUCAAGACUGAUGGUGCGGAUGCCGAAGGAUCAAAAGUCCCUUAGAAUUUCUAGGUGGGCAAUAAUUGUAGUCUCUUGGGAGUUUGUAGCCUCCCUCUUUGCCUUGUAAUUAUGUGCCACUUGGCGCUUUUUCAUUUAUAGCCUGGAUAGUGAGUGACCUAUAUACGGUUGUAGCCUCCACCCCUCUUCUUAGGAAAUCAAUUGUACUCUCAACUUUUAACAAUACACAACAUUCCUCAAACUCUCUCUCUUGUACUUAGUCUAGGGUGAAUAGGUUCUAACUUAGCAAGUAGAGAGGUAGGCUUGCUCACUUCACGAAGAAAGACGAGCGCCGCAUGGGCUAAACAAAUGAUUUAGCUUAAGUCCGUGACAGACAGCUCUCUUGAGAAGAGAAUGGUACUUCCGAGAGUUAAUCAACACCGUGUAGCCAUUCCUAGAAGCAUAGGUGAAAGUUUUAAACAGUAUAAUAAUAAGAUGUAGAUAGAAAAGAAAAGCUACAAUAUGAUAAUACGACAUAAGAUCUACUUUACAGCCACUUUGGACUAUUGGGAAAGACAUCAUCCCCAUAAUGAGGUAUCAAAAAUCAACUUAUAUUUCAUAACAAAAUCUAUUAGGUGAGGAACAACCACAAGUUUAAGUGAUCCUUAAAAAUCUAUCAAUUAACUAAAAGUUGAUUCAUAUCACUCUAACAAUUCACUGUCAAGUUGACCAAUAUAUCUGCAUCAAAGAUGGCAAAGAGGAUUAAAAAACUUAUGUCAGCAGAAUGAACCUAUGCAAUACUCAGAUUUGAAAUAUCAUGUCAACAUAAGUUUCAACGUCUUUAAAGCCUGCAAAACGGAGAUGAGCAAAUUAGUAUAACUGAGGUAUGUCACAUCUCAUAGCCCAAGAAUUUCUAGAGAGGUAUAUCUCAUGUGUCAUGUAUCAUUCCUUACCAACUCUGUUUUCGGAUCAACUAAAUGCGCCAAAGGCACUGCAAUACGCAGGGAGGACUGAAGAAUGCAAGGUAAACUCAUGUAUUACUCCUUUACCAAUUCAUAUAUCAUUGCAUAUCCCAAGUGUUCGUAGAAAGCUAAACCGUUUAACUAAGGAAGUUCCAGAUUUGAACUUCUAAAAUUGCUUGGAAAGUCUUCUUUCAACACAAGAAACUGAAGAAUUCGAUUGAACCACAAACUGUGUAAUCAAGCGCAUCAGUAGAGGAGUAGAAGUACAUGGAAGAAAACCCUAAUGGAGGCACGCGAACCAUUCUGCAAAUGGACAAAAAAGUCCUAGUUAUACGUAGUCACGUUUCCUAGAAAGAUUUCAAAGGUCAUAUAUUUGCCUAAGCCUCCAUGGUUUGAAAGAUUCCGAAGAUCAUAUAUAUGCCUAAGCCUCCUUUGUUUGAAAAUUGAGAUGUUCGAUGGUUAUAUGAACUAUCAACAGCAAGAAUAACCUUCAUAGAUCUAAAAAGAACUCGUGAAUUUCUAUCUCAAGGCCCCUCUUCUGAGCAUUCAACAAGAAUAACCUUCAUAGAUAAUAACAUUAUUUAAUUCUGAUAGUAUAAACACCUUCGAACCAAAAACAAACCCAUAAAUGUUCCAAAAGAUAAAACCUGCUCCAUCAUCCCCUUUAAUUAGUUCAAAAAUCUGUAAAUGCAUACUUUGAUCCAGUCCAUGUGAGGCAAUUUCUAACUGCAUAUGUUGAAAAAUAUCUUUACAUAUCUCCUCUAAAGGAUACUACUGAUUCAACUCCAUUGAAAAAUAUGGCCUCCGAAUAGCCUUCAGUUAAUUACUCCUCUUUGUUUCCUUUGGCCACAAAACACCCUCUAGUUAGCUAACAAACAGAGAGAUGGCCACCUUCGAAGCAACUACACCCAAUCAUAAAAGCAGAGUUGACUACAUUGUACCUCUCACAGAGUUGGGGCUAAAACAAAGAUCAAAAUUAAGAGAAACUGAAUUAGGAUUUUGAUAAGAACAACACUUGAAUAGUAACAUAACAAACAUAAGACAAAAAUUAUAAAAAAUAUCUUUAUGCUUGAGCCGUCGUAUCAUUGAAAAUGCUGUACAAAAAGAAAUAUCACAAUAUUUUUCUCAUUUACCCCUUAUAUACAAGAUCUUUGAAUAGUAAUAUGACAAACAUAAGACAAAAUUACAAAAAAGAAGUCCUUCACACUUUAGCUCAUGGCCUUGAAUAUGCAGCUCGAAAUGAAAUGUUACAAUAUCUGUUCUCAUUAACCUAUACAAACAAGAUUUCAUCAAUUUCAACCUUGACUCAAGAAAAUUUAGAAAUGGUUUAAUCCGAAUGCACGACUUCACAGUAAUGAGUUGGUCGAUGGCUAGCGUUAUUUAAUCAAGUAGCAUCAGAUAAAUAUAAAUAAAUUUUCCAACCAACUGCCGAUUCUGGCAACUCAAGUGAGGUCAAAGAUCUCUUUUAUCUGGUUUUAGAUCUCCUGUUCAACUUGCAAGUUAGAUAGAUGUUCAGAUAUAGAACAAACUUAAUAGGUCAACUUAUUUCAGUCUAGUUUUGCAUCCAAAUUCAAAUAUCAUCCUAAAUGCUGGGGUUUAAAUGAGGCAAGGUGAAAUGCAGAGUUGAAAUUAAUAAGAGCUUUUAUUAUAGACACAUACAAAAGUGCAGAGGUUUCUAAUUGAAUAAUAUUGCGCUUAUAUAUAUCACACUUCCAUUGGUGGCAGUGGAGAUGGCGAACUAGUCCUGAAUGUCAUCCUACUAUAAAAUUAGGAAAAUGCUUUUGUCCACUUAGUUUUACAACUUUUUACUCAAAACUCACGUGGCAGUUUCCUGAUAGUUCUCUUUCUUAUUAUAAUUACCAUUCUGCCUAUAAAUUAAACCACUUUUCUCGUGAAUCGUAGCAGCCAUCCAAGUGAAGUUCUCCAAGACAGCAUAUCAGUCAAAUGUUGUAAAAUGUGUAUGUACAAAAUUAUAUCGACUCCUAAAUGACAUAGUUCAUCUGCUUUUUGAAUUCGUAGGCCUUGUUAGGAUGUCAAUAUAAGUUAUUCGCCGAUAACUUACUCAGCAUGAAGAUUUCUUAUGUAAUUGGAAGGUAGGAGUCAGAUUUUUGAUCCGUGAAAGCUUCGGCGUCCAUGAUUUGGUAUGAUAGUAUAUUUCACCUACGAUAAAAUUUAUCUUUUUUCCAAACAAAAAGAUAAAACUUGAAGGUCAAACAUACUAUUUUAUUUUAGAUAUUUGACCACACUCCUAACUUCUAAUCAUGCUAAAAAUUCUCAUACUCAGUAGGAUAUCAUUGGAUAACUUAACUUAUUUUGAUGUCCAAAUAGGGACAAGUUAUUCUUAGUCAUUAAAAUUGAUAAAAACAUACAAAACUUACCUGAACUAUGGACCAUUUUGAGUUAGCUACCCAACCUAUCAAAAUUUUAAAUUUACUAUCCAACAUUUGACUUUAUUUGAUUUGAGUCGUCGAACGGUACUUUGACUUCAAAUUUUGAAUACAUUAUUUAUCUUUACAGGUUUAGCCGGUAUACUGCAUACAAUUCUCACAAGUAUAAAUUUAUUAAAGUAAGUAAUUAGUUUAAAUUAAUUAGAGAUAAGUUUAAAUCUUUUAUUUGAUUAUGAUUAGGAUAUGUAAUUAUUCAAAGUAAAAUUGGAUUUAUCAUCUGUUAUGAUUUGAUGGUUAUAUAUAGUUAGGCAUGGGUUAAUUAGAUGAAUAAGGCAUAGUAGACAUGGCUGCAUAGGUGUUGCCCACAAUGUAAUCAAUUGCUUUUUAUUAAUAAAGCAUUAAUUUAGUUAUCUUCUUCCCCCUCCAAUAUCUCUUCUCCAUAUUAUUUUGUUCUAUUUUAGAUCUCGGGUUAUAUAAUCAACAUCAGCACAAAUACUGAUUCCAACAAUUGGAAUUAGAGAAAAUCACACUUCCAAUAAGUGAUCAGAGCAAAUCACGCUCCCAACAAGUGGUAUCAAAGCCGGAAAGUAUCAUAUGACUUAUAAACCAUAUGAUAGCAUAUUCGAAAAGAACAUAGAUCCAAUGUACCGGAUAGCUCCAUCAAAGUCAAACAACUCGUAGCUGAUCGACGAAGGUGACGUUCAGGUGAAACCAAAGCGAAGGAAUCGCUUUGAAGAAGUUGCCCUCCGCACAACAAACGACAGCAGGUGGUUGUGACGCUUGAAGAAAAGAGAGCGAGGAGAGACCCUGAAGAGAUCCAAGAAGACUUGACCAAAUAGCCAGGAGGGCUAGGCAAGCAAGUCGAAGUACAGAAAAUUUGGCGAGAUCUCGAUGAACUAAGGACGUCAUCCAAACAGAAAGGUACAAAUCUGAAACUUAUUUUUCAGAUUAUCAAGUUUUUGUUAUGGAUUUAGAUAAUUGGUUUAUUCAAUCUUGCUUACCAAAAUUUGAUGGAACGAACAUUAAACGAUGGAAAAUCAUCAUUCGAUGUUUUUUAGAAUCCCAAGAUUUGUGGAAUGUAGUGGAGAAUAGAAAUUAUUAAAAAGAAUUUGAUAAAGAAUUUAGAAAAAGAGAUAGAGAAGUUCUAUCAUAUAUUUUUCAAGUAGUGGAUCUAUCGUUGGUUGAAAAAAUUUCAAUGAUAAAGACGGCACCAGAAGCGUGGAGAAUGCUAUCGAAAAUUGGAAGAGAAGAUUUGCAGGAAGAGAAUGAAAUUCAAGAAGAAAAAAAAAAA
This 51836-nucleotide long non-coding RNA is filed under the name Ananas comosus (pineapple). Its description in RNAcentral is "long non-coding RNA (ACOM_LNC031730)". Lineage: Eukaryota; Viridiplantae; Streptophyta; Magnoliopsida; Poales; Bromeliaceae. The record is from RNAcentral.